UGAAAUUGUUAAUAAAAAGGUUUUUUUAAAAAAAGAGAGAGAGUGAGUGGCUGGCCCAAGUUCAUGAACUGAACGUCAUGGCUGAGCGGGGAUGUGAACUCUGGUCUCCCAGGUCCUAGUCCAACGCUCUAACCACUACACCCCACUGUUCUACUGCUGAGCUAAGGCCCUUCUAUCUGAUUUGGACUGGAAUUUCACUUUGGCAAUGAUCGUUGUGGCGUUUGCCUCCUAGGUGGGUCAUAAGGAAAGGGUUAAAUGAGUGUGAAGCGAUUGGCCAGUGGGAACCUAAGGGGAGGAGUUAGAGUUAGAGUUGGAGUUGUUGGAAAGUCAGUUGAGAGUUGGGAGUUGGAGAAGAAAGGGGGAGGAUAAGUCUGUGUGUUGGUUGAGUGUGUUGUGAGAGAAAUUGUUAGGUGGAGUCAAAUAGUUAGUUGGGAUAAUCAGUUUGAAGUUGUUAGGAACGUACAGUGGUACCUCACAAGAUGAAUGCCUCGCAAGACAAAAAACUCGCUAGACGAAAGGGUUUUUUGUUUUUUGAGCUGCUUCGCAAGACGAUUUUCCCUAUGGGCUUGCUCGCAAGACGGAAACGUCUUGCAAGUUUGUUUCCUUUUCUUAACACCGUUAAUACAGUUGCAACUUGACUCGAGGAGCAACGCAUAGAACGUGGUCGGGUAGCCUUUUGUGAGGUUUUUAAAGACUUUGGUGAUUUUGAAGCUUUUCCAAAACUUUCCCGACACCGUGCUUCGCAAGACGAAAAAAAUCGCAAGACGACAAAACUCGCGGAACGAAUUAAUUUCGUCUUGCGAGGCACCACUGUAUAGGACAGUAAAGGAACUAAGAUUAAGAAACUGACAAGAAAAAUUAACUGAAACCAUAAGCUUGUUCAUGCCUAUAAAAUAAACUUGAUUAUUUGUUAAUGUUAACAACUGUCUGGACUCCGUGUGUACCCGUGAGAAACGGGUUGGUGGCAGCGAAGAAAGCAAUUACAGUGGUGGCACAGGGUCAAUAGACCGUCAAACGUCCGGGGACCCUGUCUUUUUUGGAUUCUUCCAACUCUUGGUGUGUUCCUGGGACUGAACCCCUCUGCCCUGACCCGAGUCUGGCUCCCACUUGACAGCUGCCUACAGCUCAUCCUCCCAUGCUAAGACCAGGCUGGGUCAUACUUUAUGAAAGCUCAGUUGGCAUAAGCUUGGAACAGCACAAAGUCUCACCCUAGCUCAGGAGUAACCAAUACGGUGCCCUCUAAAUGAUGUUGGACCACAUCCCUGAACACUGGCCAUGCUGGCUGGGGCUGGUGGGAGCUGGAGGUCCAGUAACAUCUGGAAGGCACCUGCCCAAGCUACACCACCUGCAGUGUUGAUUUCCCUUACACUGCACAAUAAGCUUGAGCAGCCUGCCUGCUAGCCUGUGCCAGGAAAAUAUCUUGAAGGAGGAGUCCUUGCUGCAAUGCGUUUCCAGAAACCUUAUUUGCUUUCGGUCUCAGGUAGCAGGAGGAGAAUACAGAGAGACUUGAAACUUGGGUGCUCCUGAAGCCUCAAGUAGCAAUCCGUAAUCCUGGAAGGCUGGAAGUUGCCUCUUAUAGCUGCCACUUCCCUUUCAACAGAGCUCAGCAGGACCACUCCAGAGGAACUGGUUGCUGAUCCCAUUAUAUACUGGUUCCCCCGCUCCUCCACCCCAAUGCUUUAGUGGUUUCAAAGAAGAAAAUGGCAAAGGACCCCACACUUGCCCUAUGCCACAGCCAUGCAGCCUCUUCAAAGCAAUCUAAAUUGCUUUUGUUAGCAGUUUAAAGGGGGGGGCCAACAACAACUCCAAGAAGCAAACCAACGCCAACACUUUGUGAAUUUACAAAGGAGCCCGCUAUUCCCCCCCCCCCAAGAAACAUUCUCGAUUGUAUCCCUUACAAACACAGAGAUUAGCCACUAUAAAAACACACACAAACAAGAACGGCAGCCAUUUGGUUAUAAUUGCAAUAACCAGAAGCACUCUGCAACCCGACGCUGUCAAACGAUUCCGUGCUUAGCAGACGUUCUGCUCGAAUUUUAAUUACGCAGGACAAUGGGACGCUGCCAGUAGCUAGUAUCCAUCGGCUGAGCAAUUAAGCUGGCAGGAUCUCGAACUCCAAAAACAAAACAAGAGAGACAGAGGCCGGGGGGGGGGUGGAGAGGAAGGGAACUACUAGUUAUUGAGCUGAAUGCAUCGCUUCUUUCCUAACAUAUGUACACUGAAAAGCCCCCCUUUUUGUGGGUGGAAAGAAUCGGUCUGCCCCCAAAGGACACCGAGAAAGCACAGAACAAGCCGGCCAUUAAAAGCAAUUCAUCGAAAAGAUCUGUCUGCAGGAAUAUGCAGAAUUAAGAGGAGCGAUUUCUCUCCAACGGGUCUGGUGGAACAUCGGCUUAGAACAGGACUUCUGGAGUCUCUUUAAAUGGAAGCUCUGAGAAAGCACUCUGGAUACCAAUACCCCAUGGAAUGAGCUUAUUAUUUAUUGCAUUUACAGUGGUACCUCGGGUUAAGAACUUAAUUCAUUCUGGAGGUCUGUUCUUAACCUGAGGUGCCACUUUAGCUAAUGGGGCCUCCCGCUGAGGGAAGCUGCACCGCCGCGUGCGAUUUCUGUUCUCAUCCUGAAGCAAAGUUCUUAACCCAAGGUACUAUUUCUGGGUUAGCGAAGUCUGUAACCUGAAGUGUCUGUAACCUGAAGCGUCUGUAACCCGAGGUACCACUGUAUACCCCACUUUCCUCUGCAAGGAGCUCACAGUGGUGUAUAUGGUUCUCUUCAUCCGCAUUUGGACCUGUGAGGGAGGGGAGGCUGAGAGGCUGCGACCGACCCAAGGUGACCCAGGGACUUCUUUGGCUGAGCAGGGACUUGAACCCUGGUCUUCCAGGUCCUAGUCCAACCCUCUGAUCACUAAAUUGCCCACCUAUAUCCUCUCAUCUGACCUUGGGGAAGACCCCCCAGGAAAAAGUUCACUCCACCCUCCUGCUGCAGGCUCUCUGGAGAAAUGGGUUUUCCAGGAGACUCAGCUGGAAAUGAAGGUCUUUGUGCACAAUCUAGAGGAUUUCCUAUUUCAUUUAUUUCUAAAGAAAUGUAUACCACUAUUCAUCUCUCUCUCUCUCCCUCUUUCUCAGUUGUUCACCACAACCAUACAGGAAAUAGUAAUAGUUACCAAGUAAUAGUUACCAUUUUAGUUGUUUUAACCUGUCAGUCAAAGACACUUGUCUUCCUGCUCUUAUUCUGGUUUGUUUUUAUAAUUACUGUAUCUUGCUUUUAUAAUGUUGUAUUUUAGCUAUUUUAAAACUGCUGUUCUAGAGCUGUAAUGACAACCUGAAACCAUUUAAAUCAGAGAUAGCAUCUGAUACUAUUCUUACCCGGCACAGUGAAUGGCUAGGGAUGAUGGGAGUCAUAGCACAACAACAUCUGCAAAGACACCUGUCCCUCAUCCAUGAUUUACAGAAUAAAAUUCAGGAUUAAAAAUAUGUCACAGAUUAAAAGAAAAUCCAUGUACGUAUAUGUUGCAUUCCAGGGCCGUGUGUGUGUGUGUGUGUGUGUGUGUGUGUUUGUGUGUGUGUGUGUGUUUCUUCUGCAGGCAGAGAAAAUGGUUCUUUGACCCUCCAGCUGUUGCUGAACUACAACUCCCAUCCGCCUUGGGAAGCACAGCCUGAGAUGGUGAGACAUGGAGUUCCCACAUGGAUGAUUUCUGAAAACAAGCCUUGGUGGGUGGAACUUGAUUGCAUCUCAAUUGUCUUUCUUUCUUUUUUUGCUCCAGUCCACCUGAGCUCGAUAUUAAAGGUAAAGGUAAAGGGACUCCUGACCAUUAGGUCCAGUCGUGGCCGACUCUGGGGUUGUGGCACUCAUCUCGCUUUAUUGGCCGAGGGAGCUGGCAUACAGCUUCCAGGUCAUAUGGCCACCAUGACUAAGCCUCUUCUGGCGAACCAGAGCAGCGCACGGAAACACCGUUUACCUUCCCGCCGGAGCAGUACCUAUUUAUCUACUUGCACUUUGAUGUGCUUUCAAACUGCUAGGUUGGCAGGAGCAGGGACCGAACAACGAGAGCUCACUCCAUUGCGGGGAUUCGAACCGCCGACCUUCUGAUCGGCAACUCAUAGGCUCUGUGGUUUAACCCACAGCGCCACCCGCGUCCCUUGAGCUUGAUAUUAGAAGGAAUUAUAUUCUUCCUGACUUUUCAAAUUCCUAGCAGAGAUGUGAAGAGGCAAAAGGAAGGAGACAGUGUGUGGCACGAAGAUGCCUCUGAAUUCAUCGCGAAAAGAAAACGCUUCCCAGGGUCAACUCUACCUCCCUAAAUAACCUGGAUUCCAGAGACCAGCGUUUAUCUGCAUCGAUCUGAAAGCAAAAGGCGAAGUUCAAACACGACGGAAGAUAAGGAGCUCCUCCGUCCCAGCCAUGUACUUAAGACACCUGCAGACCAGCAUUGCACUAGCAUAGAUUAAGAUCGCUUAAGACAAAUGCUCUAAGAGAGAAAAGGUUAAAAUUAAAGGUGGUGGCGUUCAGACUUGGGGCGGUGGUGUUGCGGGAGCAUCACUGCAGACAUGAGAGAUAAAAAUAGCAUUACCCAAGCUGUAACCUGCAGGUACACGAGAGAGAAAGCUGACUGGGUAGACUUGUGAGAAAGAAUUAAUAAUUUAUACCAGCGUUCGCUCCACAUUUAGGAAUCCUUAUUGGGAAAGCACAGAAAGGGACACGCAACAAAAUGAUGGCUUAUGGGAGGACAUUAGCACAAGAUGCGAUGUGAUCCCUGAAGCAGCUAUGAACUCUCCAGCUGGCCUUUGGCAAUCCUCUCUCUCUCUCUCUCUCUCUCUCUCUCAUCCUCACCACCCACAACAUCUGCAACAUGAGGAGAACCACCCUUGCCUACCGUACAGGGUUGCUGUAAGGAUUACGAGAACAGACAGUGCUUGGAAAGUUCAUUUUAAAAAAGGAACUCUAGUUCGAGUCUGCCCUUUUCUCAAAGUCCAAAUUCAUUCGAAUCUUCAUUUAGUUUGUAAAAAAUAAAUUUAUCCUCUGCAUCCCACCGCCCCACAGCGUUCGGAAUAUUGCAAGUUGCUGUGUUGAAGCAUAAGGUCCAAAAAUAAAUCAGGGGCUCCACACAAGUAAUUAGAGGUUGAACAAACAGUAUGCCAACAGGUAAAACUUUCCCCAUAAUUGGAUUUUCAUACUAGAAAAGGCUUGCCCUCGCUGGUCACAGGGAGAACAGAAACUCCUUGUUACAACAGAUCCACUGGCUGCCAGUUCAUUUCUGGGCACAAUUCAUAGUGCUGUUUAUGACCUACGAAGUCCUAUUUGGCUUGGGCCCAGACUAUCUGAAGGACCAUAUCUCCCUAAAAGAGCUUGCCCAGGCUUUGAGAACUUCAAAAAUCUGAAGGGCUAUUACAUGGACGAUGGAGCAAGUUUGUUUUCUGCUGCUCCAGAAGGUAGGACCCAAUCCAAUGGAUUCAGAUGGUAAGGAUAGAGGUUCCAACUAAACAUUAGGGAGAACUUUCUAAUGGUAAGAGCUGUUCAACUGUGGAAUGAUAUCCCUGGGAAGGGGAUGGACUCUCCUUCCUUGGAGGUUAUUUAAACAGAUGUUGGAUAGGUCAUCAGGUGGUCUUUGUGACAUGUCGCUCUGCACCUCCUGCCUCCCACUUCAAAAUGGAAGUAUAUUUAGGCUACUGCUACUAAUUAGUUACCUGUUAACUCUCCAUGUUCUCAGUUAGGAGGCAUAGUGCAUUCAACCAAUAAUAAUAGAUUUUUAAUUAGGAUUAACUCAGAGUUGCCACCUGAGAAAGUGUCCGGUGCAUUUGGCUCAGCGGUGAAACAAUCUGUUCAACGCAACUUUCAAUAAAGAUCAAUGAAAAAACCGCCACCAAUGUUAUCAAGCCAGGAAUCGGAACCAGUGUUUUCAUUCAAAGAACACAUUUUAAAUUGCCUGCCUUUCCGAAUCAUAAAUCAUUUGCCUCUGAUAUUUUCCCUGACAGAAAGAAACAGUUAUUACCAUUAAAUAUCGCAUCUGCAUUCAGGAUGGUGUAAUAACUAUUUAAAAGCGAUUCAUCUGGCCAAUUAUUGGCACACGCUCAUUCCCAAAAACAAGAAAUGGCCUUUUAGAGCAUCAAAAGUUUCAGGUGGGAUUUGAUCUCAUAGCGGCAGAUUCAGUUUCUGCAAUUAUAGUUGAUUGAAAGGGAAAUGCACUGGGAAAGAGUAGGAAAACACUUGAAUUGACACAAUCUCCCUGCAAGCAAAUCAGAAUGAAUAAAUGAAUUAAAUAGGUGAUGCCACCUAGUCUCCCUGAAAACAGAUCAGGAUGAAUGCUCAAAUGCGACUUGCCGAUCAGAAGGUCGGCGGUUCGAAUCCCCAUGACGGGGUGAGCUCCUGUUGCUCGGUCCCUACUCCUGCCAACCUAGCAGUUCGAAAGCAUGUCAAAGUGCAAGUAGAUAAAUAGGUACCACUCCUGCGGGAAGGUAAACGGCCUUUCCGUGCGCUGCUCUGGUUUGCCAUGCUGUCCACAUGACCCGGAAGCUGUACGCCGGCUCCCUCGGCCAAUAAACCGAGAUGAGCGCCGCAACCCCAGAGUCGGUCACGACUGGACCUAAUGGUCAGGGGUCCCUUUACCUUAUGUAUAUGUAUAUAUAUUUGGCACCUUGAAGACUAACAGUCCUUCUACCCCAAUGAUCUCAGGUUGGUGUGUUCUUCCUAACAGCCCUGUUAUGUGGGCUUUGUUAAUAAGAGAUUUGCUUAAGAUCACCCCGUGUGCUGCAUGGCUAAGGAGUUGUCUAAAUCCACUAAAUCUCAACACUCAAGCCAUAACACUGCAUUGACUCACAACAGAUUUCUCUUCGCACUAUAUAGGUUCCUCUGUGGAUAUGUAAAACAGGUAAAACAUUCUGCUGUUCCGUUUUUGCCUCUGAGAAACAAAUCAAGCGGAUUCCGCUGGUUCUCCUUUGUUGCACUAUUGAGAUUUGGACUUUAAUUAGGAUUAACCGAGUUACUGACAAGUUUUCUGUGCGCGAAGCAUUGAGACAUUUGUCCCAAUGUAGACUAUAAAAAUUGCAUAACUGCAUGAAUAUGCAUAACUGCAUAAAUAUAUAUGCACAUAUGCUUGGAACACCCAAGAUGUAUAUCUAAAAAUAUCUAUCACUCUAAGAUGUAUACCUAAAAAUGGAUAAAUACUGACACCUGAUGAUUGACAGAUAGGUUGUCCCACCUGUCUGUCAAACCUGGCCUGCUGGGGUAGGGGGAGAUACUGCACAGGGUUGAACAGCCUGUGGAAUACUUGAUAUAAGGUGAGUUCGUUCCUGGUUAGUGCAGGGUGAGGGCAUGCCAGCCAAUUCUCAGAAUGAACUGGUUGAAGCACCUGAGCAGAGCAGAACUGAACUCCCUGUGCAUCAGCUGGUGCCUGGGUGAAGGCUCAUUCUUGAUUUCUGCAGCUGCAUCUGUACCUGCCCCACACCAGAAAUCACAUAUUGUGGGAAUGUUAAUGGUGGCAGGAGAGGUCAUAUUGUUUAUUAAUAUCCUUCCUAACUUUUGCACUAGCAAGUUCCUUUACUUAGCAGAGUUUACAUUCCCCUUUUUAUAUACACAGCAGAUAGCUGGCUGCAGGCUCGUGUGAGCCUCUCACUAUUGUACAAUUCAGUCUGUUAAGAUUGAAUUGUACGUUCCUGGUAAGUAACCAUGAAUCCCUCUUAAAAGAAUAGAUGCCACAAUCUUAUUCAAGGCCAAUAAAAGAAGUUUACUUACGACAGUUCACAGUUGGAUACCUGAAGGCAGACUUAGUUACAAAUAUGUGCAUGUGGAUCUACCCCAUAUGGGGGAAUAAUCCCAGUGCCUCUGCUAGCUAAGAGCUAGCAGGGCAGUCCUAGCUAAAAGUUGGUCAAACAAAGAAGGAAGGCAAAAAGAGGGAAGUGUGCAGUGUGAUCCAUCUUUUUGUUACCUGGACAGGUUAGGUUGGGUUAAGGUUACCAGACAUCCCCGUUUCCCGGGGACAGUCCCCAAAUUUACAAAUCAGCCCCCUGACAAAAUCUAUCUAUUUAGUAGGAAGUUGAAAAGUGUCCCCAGAUUCAUUGAAAAAAAAUCUGCUAACCUUAGGUUAUGUCACGCCCACCUUCUAUCACAUGCAAAAGGAAGGAUGCUCCAGCCAGGAGGAACAGGAAGUUUUGACUGGCUGGACCAAACAUUCCCUUCGCAUGUCUUCUCUAGCAUUACAAGGAAUGCUGCACUUGACUGUCUCUCGUGGAUCACAUCCCACACAUAUGACACAAUGUAUGAGGCAGGUGUGGGUGGUUUCAUAAAAGUGGCCUCAUGACCAAAUGGGGAGGGCUGGUAGGCCAACUUUGGCCCGCAGGUCAGUGGUUCCCGACCCCUGGUCUAAAGGUUGGGACAGCCCUGGUUUGCAAAGUGAAAUACCCACAUCCCAGACCCAUCUGCAUCAUCCAGGAACCCACUGCCAGGAACAAACCUUCUCAGUGGCUCUCAGUUCCCAAAACAACCUGGUUGCAAACCCAGCUCUGCACGGAUAACCUCCAUAGCUGUCAACUUACAGAUUUGAAAAUAAGGGACCAGCAGCCUCGAAAAUAAGGGAUUUUAGUAAACCAGCAGCCAAACGAAGCCUCAAGUGGUGGUUCCCAUAGCGCAGCAACCCGGCAAAGGGAUGCAGAAAGGAAAACCACCGUCACCUCUCUACUGGGAAGCGCUGAGCAAAGGUGAGUCCCCAGGCAACGCAGCCGAUUUGAUCGGCACAAGGCAUGCAAGCUCCACCCCCCAGUCGUUCUUAGACUCCUUAUUGGGUCAGCAACACAGCCAAGCAACACAGUUGGAGCCUCUCUCCACCCUGGCCGGCAGGGAGGGAGGUAGAGGAGCUGCUUCCUUUGAAACCCGGGAAAUUUAAGGGACAUCAUCAAUAAGGGACAGCAGCGAGACAUGGCGCUGGGAUAAGGGACUGUCCCGCCAAAUAAGGGACGCUUGACAGCUAUGAUAACCUCUGUGGCAGAACAAAAUUCGAUUAACUCCUGAAUGCAUGCAGUUAUGUCCAGCUCAUGAAAAUAACUGCACCUGCGACCACCCGCUAUCAUCUGAUAUCGAUUGAACAACCAUAUUACAUGCUAGCAGAAGGGAAAAGGAAAAGAAAGCAUAUAUACAGAGAAAAGAGGCUGUGUAAAACCCCAAGCAGAUUUCUAGGUUGGGAGGGUCAUUAGCUAUAGAAUGCAGCCCAUCUGUCAGGUUGCCAGCUUCCUCUAAACACCAAAAACAAAAACAGAAUCCCUAAUUGCUAAUUGAAAGAUCAAAGCCACGGGUUGCUCUGCGCCAUAUGGGAAGAAACAGUAGGAAUCGGGAGGCCCAGGAAACAAAGUUGUAAAGGAGAAGCGCUCGCUAAGUUCCCUGCUCUGCGGCACGGACGAGAUUUUGAGAGAAAUCUGCAUCAAAGUCAGUCAAGGAUGGCUGGUAUCAUCUUGCUUCCACCUUGAGACAGUGGAUUGACCCACCAAAGUGCUAGGGUUAAUGGGAUUCGGGUUGAUUAAUUGAUUCAGGUUGAUUAAGUGGGCAUAGUUAAGGAGCUAAGAAAAGUGUGCUGAAUCAGGCCAAUGGCCCAUCUAGUCCAGCAUUGUGUUCUCACAGUAGCUAACUAGAUGUCUGUGGAAAGCCUGCAACCAGGGUAUGCACACAAUAGCCCUCUCCCCAUAAGGAAGACUUCCGUGACUUCCAUGAGAGUUGUAAAAGAAUGUCUAGCCCAGCAGAGUAAGGACGCAGGUGGCACUGUGGGUUAAACCACAGAGCCUAGGGCUUGCCACCAGAAGGUCGCCGGUUCGAAUCCCUGCAACCGGGUGAGCUCCCGUUGCUCAGUCCCUGCUCCUGCCAACCUAGCAGUUUGAAAGCAUGUCAAAGGGCAAGUAGAUAAAUAGGUACCACUCAGGUGGGAUGGUAAACAGUGUUUCCGUGCGCUGCUCUGGUUCGCCAGAAGUGGCUUAGUCAUGUUGGCCACAUGACCUGGAAGCUGUACGUCGGCUCCCUCGGCCAAUAAAGCGAGAUGAGCGCCGCAACCCCAGAGUCAGUCACGACUGGACCUAAUGGUCAGGGGUCCCUUUACCUUUACCUUAGCCCAGCAGAGUAUCAUAAACAAUGGAGUGUCAUUGGCAGUAGUAAGCAGUACAGUGGUACCUCUGGUUAUGAACGGGAUCCAUUCCAGAGGCCCGUUAGCAACAUGAAAAGAGCGCAACCCACAGCGGCAUGUCUGCACACACAUGGGUUGCAAUUCGGUGCUUCUGCGCAUGCGCGUGAUGUCAUUUUGCGCUUCUGCGCAGGUGCGAGCGGUGAAACCCAGAAGUAACCCUUUCCGGUACUUCUGAGUCACCGUGGGGCAUAACCUGAAAGAACAUAACAUGAAGCAAACGUAACAUGAGGUAUGACUAUACUGUGGGGGGGGGCAGUUCUCACCUUGAAAGAUGCCCAAAAUUACAAAACCUGCUGAAAAAUGGGACAAGCCCCACCUGUCCUCACAGCUGCAUCUCUGCUGUCUAUUAUGGGGAUGAGGAAGUUAUGUUCACAUCCACCCUAUACGUUUAAAGCACUCUUAUAUAAGGUCAUGGUUCCCUCCUGGGGACUGUAGCCUGCUAAAGAGUUUGCUAGGAGACCCUCACAGAGCUAUAACCAGCCACACCACUAACUAUAGUUCCCAGGAUUUUGGAGGGGAGCCAAUACUGCUCAAGUGGUGAUGGAUGCAACCUUCUUGUGAUGAUGGGACUACAACUCCCAUCAUCCAUGACCCUCCUGGAGGGGACUCUGGUUGUCCUUUGGCUUCUUCGGUGGAGUCCUCUGCAUCCGAGGAUGGAAAGAUGACAUCUUCAGGAAGGAUGGGCUCAGUUCUGCAGUCUUUGACCUCAUCCUCUGAAAGAGGGGGAAAUCUGACCCCAGGGUCAUGACACUUUCCUGGCCCAGCCAUCUUAGCACCCGCUCUGUGCAGAAACAAGAGAUACAGUGGUACCUCAGGUUAAGUACUUAAUUCAUUCCGGAGGUCUGUUCUUAACCUGAAACUGUUCUUAACCUAAAGCACCACUUUAGCUAAUGGGGCCUCCCGCUGCCACUGCACCACCGGAGCCCGAUUUCUGUUCUUAUCAUGAAGCAAAGUUCUUAACCUGAGGUAAUAUUUCUGGGUUAGUGGAGUCUGUAACCUGAAGCGUAUGUAACCUGAAGCGUAUGUAACCCAAGGUACCACUGCACUUGGGGGGAGUCGAGAAAAGGCUGUGCACCUCAAACCUGCCGACUCCAAAUUCAUAAUGCAGGAAGGAAGGAAGGAUGCCGCAAAAUAAAAACGAAUAAAACAAAAAUAAAGCCGGCAAGGAAACGAACCUAAAGGGACCCACAUUUCCACUCUGUCAGGAGAAGCAGCCGUGCCAAGUGAGAGCUGGCAAGGCAAGAAGGUGCCAGCAUGCAUUUGGAGCUAAAAACAGAAACCAUGUCAAGAAAAGGCCCUGAAUCAUUUCAUCGCAGCUCUUAUCCCUCCGAGGGCAUUUCUCUGUCUCAGGCAGCUGUUACAGGAAAUCGUGCAGGGAGACGAUAAUAAGUUCUAAAGCCAUACAGGAGUUAGGAGUCCCUGGACAAAACACUUUGGACCUUGGUCUGGAUACCAGGGUGGCCCAUGAACCAAUAUACCAGAGUCUACCUAAGAGAGGGGGGCAGGGAAGUUUUUUCAUAUAUAUAUAUAAAAUUUUAACAUAUAAAUUCCAACAAUCAUUUAACAUAACUUCUUAUCUUAUACAAUAUUUUAGACAACAACCUCUGAAGAUUGUCCGUUCUUUAUCACUUAUUCUGCAUUUCUUAAUUUCUCUAUUACUUUUAAUUGUCCUUAACUAAUCGUUCUUUUCAAAGUCUCCCUUGCAAUAUUUGACAAAGUCCUCCUUACAGAACUACUAGCGUAAUCUGUUUAUCACAAUUGCUUUUCAAAUAAUUCAAAUAUUUACUCCAGUCCUCUAAGCACCUCUUAUCCCACAGGUUUCAAAUCCUUCCUGUUAUUUUAUCUAAUUCUGCAUAGUCCAUUAAUUUCAUUUGCCAUUCUUCUUUCAUCGGUAAUUCUUCUUGCUCCCAGGGUGGGGAAGUUUUUUCAGCUCAAGGGCCACAUUCGAUUGUUCUGGGGGCCGCAUGCCAGCAGCUGGGCAGGGCCAGGGUGAAACUGGGAAGAGCAACAAAUGUAAACUUUACCUUUCUACUGUCGCUUCGUUUCUACACACCCUUUCACUUCAAGCAAGAGGCAUUGUCAGUCAGAGCUCAAGGAUAGGCAUACCGUAUUUUUUGCUCUAUAAGACUCACUUUUUCCCUCCUAAAAAGUAAGGGGAAAUGUGUGUGCGUCUUAUGGAGCGAAUGCAGGCUGUGCAGCUAUCCCAGAAGCCAGAACAGCAAGAGGGAUUGCUGCUUUCACUGUACAGUGAUUCCUCUUGCUGUUCUGGCUUCUGAGAUUCAGAAUAUUUUCUUUCUUGUUUUCCUCCUCCAAAAACUAGGUGCGUCUUGUGGUCUGGUGCGUCUUAUAGAGCGGAAAAUACGGUAAAUGCUCGAGGAGGAGGCAAAGCAAGGCCAGUGAAGGAACGACCUAAGAAGAGUCUGGGAAGCCAUUUCUUCUUCCAAUAAAAGGUCAUCCAACUGAGGCUGAUUGAGCCCCAACACUAAACCCAGACUAAAAUUGAUCCAGAUAAGAGGUUUUCUGCAAGAGCCCCACCCCCUUUGAGCAACUUAACCAAAAAGUGAGUACCAUAUUUUUUGCUCUAUAAGACUCACUUUUUCCCUCCUAAAAAGUAAGGGGAAAUGUGUGUGCGUCUUAUGGAGCGAAUGCAGGCUGCGCAGCUAUCCCAGAAGCCAGAACAGCAAGAGGGAUUGCUGCUUUCGCUGCGCAGUGAUCCCUCUUGCUGUUCUGGCUUCUGAGAUUCACAAUAUUUUUUUCUUGUUUUCCUCCUCCAAAAACUAGGUGCGUCUUGUGGUCUGGUGCGUCUUAUAUAGCGAAAAAUACGGUAUUUGUGACUGGGUGGUAAUGGUAAUAAACUUGUUUUAAAUGCAUUUUUAUUGUUCUGUAUCUCUGUUUGUAGGGACGCGGGUGGUGCUGUGGUCUAAACCACAGAGCCUAGGGCUUGCCGAUCAGAAGGUUGGCGGUUCAAAUCCCCGCGAUGGGGUGAGCUCCCGUUGCUCAGUCCCUGCUCCUGCCAACCUAGCAGUUCAAAAACAUGUCAAAGUGCAAGUAGAUAAAUAGGUACCACUCCAGCGGGAAGAUAAACGGCGUUUCCGUGUGCUGCUCUGGUUCGCCAGAAGCGGCUUAGGCAUGCUGGCCACAUGACCCGGAAGCUGUACAUCGGCUCCCUCGGCCAGUAAAGCGAGAUGAGCGGCACAACCCCAGAGUCGUCCGCGACUGGACCUAAUGGUCAGGGGUCCCUUUACCUUUACCUUUACAUAUCUCUGUUUGUGCCACCUCACGCUUCUUUGGAAUGCACUGCCCAUAUAUCUCCUGCCUUUGUCUGUGACAGGGAUUCAAGGCAGCUUACAAAUAAAAAUAAGAACGGCUAAAAACAUAGGUGUGAAAAUAAUCAUUUUUGUAAAAAAUUGAACACACACACAUGUGCGGUGCCUCAGAACGUAACUUCCACGAAAAUGGGGGCUUGCCUGUAAUCUACGAAAAGCAUACAAGUAACUAGAAUAAAGGGACGCGGGUGGCGCUGUGGGUAAAACCUCAGCGCCUAGGACUUGCCAAUCGCAUGGUCGGCGGUUCGAAUCCCCGCGGCGGGGCGCGCUCCCGUCGUUCGGUCCCAGCGCCUGCCAACCUAGCAGUUCGAAAGCACCCCCGGGUGCAAGUAGAUAAAUAGGGACCGCUUACCAGUGGGAAGGUAAAUGGCGUUCCGUGUGCUCCGCUGGCUCACCAGAUGCAGCUUGUCACGCUGGCCACGUGACCCAGAAGUGUCUGCGGACAGCGCUGGCUCCCGGCCUAUAGAGUGAGAUGAGCGCACAACCCUAGAGUCUGGCAAGACUGGCCCGAACGGGCAGGAGUACCUUUACCUUUAACUAGAAUAAAAGCAGCACUAGCCCUUUCAUCAGUUCCCAAAAGCCAGUUGGAACAAGAAAGUCUCCACCUGCUGGCAGAAGGACAACAAGGAGCCUAGCUUCUCCAGGGAAGCAGUUCCAGAACCUAGGAGCAGCCACUGAGAAGGCCCUGUCCAUCAUCCUCACCAGGUGUCCCUAUGAGGGUGGCAGGACUGAGAGAAGGGCCUCACCUUAAAGUAGCAAAACCGAGAUAGGCUCAUAGGAGAGAUUAUGUUCUUUUAGAUAGCUUGGACUUAUUAUUUAUAGUCAUACCUCAUGUUACGUUUGCUUCAUGUUACGUUCUUUCAGGUUAUGUCCCGCGGCAACCCAGAAGUACCAGAAAGGGUUACUUCCAGGUUUUGCCGCUCGCACAGGUGCAGAAGCGCAAAAUGACGUCACGCGCAUGCGCAGAAGCAGUGAAUCACAACCUGCGCGUGCACAGAUGCACCACUGUGGGUUGCGCUCUUUUCAUGUUGCGAACGGGCCUCCAGAACGGAUCCUGUUCGCAACUAGGGGUACCACUGUAUUAUUAUUUAUUUUUUGAAUUUAUAUGCCAGCCUAUACCUGGGGGUCUCAGGGCAGUUCACAGAAGAAAAUCAAGAUAUAAAACCACAUAAUACAUAAUAAAAACAAAAACAACAACCCAAUAGCCCCCCCCCCAAAAACACAUUUUAAAAGGGCAUAGGAUGUAAAUGAGAUCAACCAAAGGCCUGGUUAAAAAGGAACAUUUUUGCCUGGCGCCUAAAGGUGUAUAAUGAAGGCACCAGGCACCCUGGGGAGAGCAUUCCACAGGCAGGGAGCCACUACAGAGAAGGCCCUGUUCUCAUGUUGCCACCCUCCAGAGCUCUCGAGGACUUAAGCCGUAUAGGGCUUAGGAAGAGCAGGAUAUGAAUUUAACUUGACGGUGAUGAUACCACCUCAGUCCAGGGGCAGGGUGGUUUCAGGAUCGCCUGAGCUACCACUUCUUAAAUGAAUAAUGACAAAGAAAACACACAGUGAAAGGGGAAAGGGAGUAUUCACAAAUGGCUAGAGUGAGCUCGCCCUUGUUAUCAGCAUAAAACAGCGCAGAGUGAAAUGGAUAUCGUUACAAUCAGCACGGCACAUUAAUGAGGUUUGCAAAGAAAGAAAAGGCUUGCAAAAGUUGGCAGGUAACUUUAGCCGCUCCCCUAGCACUAAAUCUACUCAGCAGGCACUCGCCAUCCAUCAUCCCGGCAAAUUAUGUUUUAAAACCUGCUCCUCCGAAAUAAAUAAAUAAAUGUUAAUCACUCCCCUGCGCGAGUGGGCAGACAGGGCUUGAGCGGCUUAGAGAAACACACACACACAAAAUCCCAUGCUAUCAGAAUAAAACUAUUUGCUCUCAGCUUCUCUCUGGCAAUCAAUCCACUUCCUUUGCAAACAAUGAAAUUUGGUUUGGCAGCAUGUAAGGAUGGAGUCUGGGGUCCGGGGGAAGGGGGCAUGUAUGUAGCAGAUACACAGCUGAACUGGAAAUAGGAAGACCUGGGCUAGAAAUAUAGGGCGCUGCUGUAUACCAGGUCAGACCAUUAGAGUUUUUAAUUUGGAGUAAAGGUAAGUAAGAAGGAGGGACGCAGGUGGCGCUGUGGGUUAAACCACAGAACCUAGGACUUGCCGAUCAGAAGGUCGGCGGUUCGAAUCCCUGCGAUGGGGUGAGCUCCCGUUGCUCGGUCCCUGCUCCUGCCAACCUAGCAGUUCAAAAGCACAUCAAAGUGCAAGUAGAUAAAUAGGUACCGCUCCGGCGGGAAGGUAAAUGGCAUUUCCGUGCGCUGCUCUGGUUCACCAGAAGCGGCUUGGUCAUGCUGGCCACAUGACCCGGAAGCUGUACUCCCUCGGCCAGUAAAGCGAGAUGAGCACAGCAACCCCAGAGUCAGUCACGACUGGACCUAAUGGUCAGGGGUCCCUUUACCUUUAAGUAAGAAGGGUCAUGAUUCUGCACGGCACGGAGGAAGUGGAUGGAGAAAACCUCUCUCGUAACACUAGCUCUCAUGGACACACAAUGAAGCUGAAUGCCGGAAGAUUCAGGACAGUUAGAAGAAAGGAGUUCUUCACAGCACAUAGUUAAACUAUGGAACUCACUCCCACUGGAGCCCCUUGGAUACCUUCAAAAGACAUGACAAAGUCAUGGAGGACAAGGCUAUGAAUGGCUAGUAGCCAUUCCUAAAUAUCAGUUGCCAGAAACCGAAGGAGAGGGAAGCACUCUUGUACCCGGGUCAUCCUUGGGGGUUUCCCACAGCCAUCUGGUUGGCCACUGUAAAAACAGGAUGCUGGACUAGUUGGGCCAUGGGUCUGAUUCAGCAGGCUCUUCUUUUAUCCACCUACUUGGAGUAGACUCGUUGAAAUUAAGUCAUGUCCAUUCAUUUCAAUGGGUCUACUCUGAGUAGGGGAGACAUGGACUGCAGUCAAGUGAUGCAUCAAACUUUUUCCUAGUCCAGCUUGGACUUGGUGAUUGAACUUGGAACCUUCUGCAUGCAAGGCAGAUGUCCCACCACUGAGCUAUGAGCUUUUCUCAAAGGGUUUGUAUAACUGCUCAGCCUUGGAGCUGACCAGGUCCCCUUGGCAGCCAUAUGUGCUCAGCUUAACCUACCUGACGAGGUUGCGUGGCGAGUUCCCACCUCCCACCAGAAGAAAUAAAGACACAAGACACCAUAAGUUAAGGUUAAUGGGCGAAAAUUGGCCACAACGUUAUUGAUUGCAGGAAAUGAGCGGUAUCGGCCUAGGCAUUGGUCCUAUCAACUAUCCGGCUUCAGGCUGUAUGCCUGAGAGGCUGGGAAGUGUUAACACCAGCAGGGGGAGCCCUGCUGAUGCACAUCAACUAGGCACUCCCCUGGGGUCACCGUUCAGGGGCGUGCCUUGGGCCCUGGCCUCCCUAGGCUUCAGACGGGGCCAUGCCCCCAGAGUCCUUUACCGGACUACCCUUCGCAACUGGGGGAGGUGAUGGCGCUCCUCCCCCCCCCAUCCAUCUACAUAACAAUACUCCGACCAAUGCCUCACCGCCAAACUGUGGAAGUUGUGACAAUUUGCUACGAGGUAGGCGAAAAAACCAAAUGGCCGGUGCCAAUUUGCCAAGUGGAAAAAUUCCUAUCAGGCCCCUUAACGGCGACCAACCGAAGUCCAUAGCAAGGUCAAAGGGAAACCUUAAAGGGAGGGUGGGUGGGAAAUUCCCCAGCUGAUCGGCGGCGGCAAAGAGGGAGCUCCUCUGCCACGCUUGCCUUAAGAGCGGCAAGCCACACCCCCUGAGCCAGCCAAUAGGCUGGCCAGGGGAUGACGCAGCAGAGGAUUCCCCCUGUACGCACGGGGCUGAGAGCCAGCCUCUGCGUGGGAGUUGGAGGGUGGGAAGCCUGCAAACCCACCUCCUCCCUAGGGUCGGAAGUGGCUUUGUGGUGAGAAGAAGUGAAAGUCAUAAGGAAUGUGGCUAGAUGACUUGCUCCAAUUGCUUUAUAUCUUUUUUAAAAAUAUAUAUAAUUUUUAUUAAGUUUUCCAUAUUUCAUUACAUUUACAUAUCAAAAAUCAAAAAAUCCAUAACUUAAAGCAUUGCUUAAAUAAAGCAUCGACUUCCUUCCCUCCCUCUAACAGACUUCCACACACUUUUACCAAUUUCUUCACAUUCCUAUAUCCACUUUUUUACCUUAUAUCAAUCUUUUAGCAAUCACCUUCUUAUAUGUAAAUCAGCUCCUUAAUUUCCCAUUACCAAACAUUUCAACACAAACCUACAAACGUUUCCAACUGUUUACAAUUUUCUUUCAUAUAAAGUAUAAAUUUGCCCCAGUCCUUAUGAAACGGUUCAUCACGCCGAUUCCGGAUCUUCCCCAUCAGAGUUGCUUUAUAUCUUAAUAAGUUUAUCUUAAUAAUGACAAAGGCAGUGAUGAUGGGAACAGAUUCUAACACAAAGGGCCUGAUAACACAACUGGUCAUUCUAUGAGCCUCUUUGGUUGUUAAUAGGGGGCCUCCUUUGCCUGCAGCCCCUAUUGCCAUAUAACUCUCAAAACAUUAUCCAGAAAGGAAGGAGGCCCACAAAAAAGAUCUCCUUUCCAAGGUGACUCUACUGGUUGGGUGCAAACGGCAAGGGAGACUGAAGUGGAAGCCAGCACUGAUGCUACACUAGUUUUCUGGAUGCACAGGAGGAGGGGAAGGAGACAACUUCCCUUAGGCUAAGCAAGGCUCAUCCACAUAGCUCUAAACCAUAGUUUAGGGUGAUGUGUGAACGGGACCACAGGUUGACACACUGAAGAACGGAGAGAAGGGGCUUUCUUGGUUCAUCUGACAACCACGGAAGAUAGAAUGCCACCUUACAUUAGGGCCAUGUUCACACCAUACAUUUAAAGAAGAGGAAAAGGAAGAGGAAGAGGAGGAGGAGGAGGAGGAGGAGGAGUUUGGAUUUGAUAUCCUGCUUUAUCAGUACCCGAAGGAGUCUCAAAGCGGCUAACAUUCUCCUUUCCCUUCCUCCCCCACAACAAACACACUGUGAGGUGAGUGGGGCUGAGAGACUUCAGAGAAGUGUGACUAGCCCAAGGUCACCCAGUAGCUACAUGUGGAGGAAUGGAGACGCAAACCCGGUUCACCAGAUUACGAGUCUACCGCUCUUAACCACUACACCCCACUGGCUCUCAGUGUGUAUCACACCACUUUAAACAGUCAUAACUUACCCCAAAGGAUCCUGGGAAAUGUAGUUAAGGAUGUUGAGAGUUGUUUGAAGACCCCUAUUCACUUCCCAGGGUUCCCCGUGAAGAUAGACUGGUUGUUACACAACUCUGGGAAUUUUAGAUCUGGGAGGGUCUCCUAACGACUCUCAGCACCCUGAACAAACUACAGCUCCCAAAAUUCUUUGAAGGAAGCCAUGAUGGUUUAAAGUGGUGUUGCAGUGCUUCAAACGUAUGCUGUCGAUGUGGUCUAUAUUAAACCAUUACAGUGGUACCUUGGGUUACAAACACUUUGGGUUACAGACUCCGCUAACCCGGAAGUAGUACCUCAGGUUAAGAACUUUACCUCAGGAUGAGAACAGAAAUUGUGCGGUGGCGGCGUGGCAGCAGCGGGAGGCCCCAUUAGCUAAAGUGGUACCUCAGGUUAAGAAUGGUUUCAGGUUGAGAACGGACGUCCAGAACGAAUUAAGUUCAUAACCAGAGGUACCACUGUAGUUCACCUAGAUCUAGCUCAGAGCUACCUACUGAACUACAGUGCAGUCUACACUGACAAGCAGCAGACCUCCAGAGUUGCAGAAAGGGGGUUGUUCUCAGCCCUAUCAGGAGAUUCCAUGGAUAGGCCCUAGGGCGUUUGGGGGUCUCAAACCCAGAAAGGUCUUUCCCAUCCCUUGCUAAUUUUUCUUGUUUUAACUGAAAAUUCCCCUGAGGGAACCUGGAACCUUCUGCAAGUAAGCAAGUGGUUCCUGGAGAUCUCUGCUUGCUAUCCCGUUCCAAUUGCUGCUAUGGAAACCCAGGAUCGUGCCAACGACUCAGGAUUUCAGCUGCAAAAAGGGGUUACGGGGAAGGAAAACCAAACGUAGCUCAUGCAAUUUAUUAAAACUGCCAAGUUUGCAUAAUUUAAGCUGAAUGAAAUCACAGUUAAUGGCCCUGUUGCUUGAAGCAGUGUGUUCUGCCAGGAUAUUUUCUUCAAAAAAAGAAAGAAAAAAGAUUUAAAUAUGAAAAGUCUUCCUUUUUAAAAAAGGAAUAAGCAUUCUUCAUUAGCUAGCAGGAUGCAGGAUGUGCCCUAUUUUCAUGACAAUCUUGAGUUGUCAUUUUUGUGUGUGUUCAAAAGGACCAUCUUUACCCUGGGAUAUAACAAACCUCGUGAACUUCACUGGGCAAACGUGAAGCAUCAGCAGGGCUUAUUCAAGCCCACCACAAUGCUUUAGAACUAGGAACCCCGAAAAAAAGGGACAUGAAUAUUCAUCUUCCAAAAUUUAAUUGGAUUUUCUACAAGCUGCACGCUGGAGGAGAAGUAAUAUUGCGAUCGAAAAAUGGAGAGCAUUUACACAAUAGGGGCUCAUUUGUCAGAAUGAUCAAUAAUAUUUUUAUUCCAAAUGAGAGCAAAAAUAAUGUUCUGUGUAAAAUACAAAGUGGGAGAAAAAUGCAGAAAAGGGAAGGGCAGGUGUUUAAUAAUAAGAGGCCCUGCUGGUUCAGGCCAGAAACCAUCAAGACCAGCAUCCCAAUCUUACAGUGGCCAGCCAGAUGUUGUUGUUUAGUCAUUCAGUCGUGUCCGACUCUUUGUGACCCCAUGGACCAGAGCACGCCAGGCACUCCUGUCUUCCACUGCCUCCCGCAGUUUGGUCAAACUCAUGUUGGUAGCUUCGAAAACACUGUCCAACCAUCUCGUCCUCUGUCUUCCCCUUCUCCUUGUGCCCUCCAUCUUUCCCAGCAUCAGGGUCUUUUUCAUAGAUCACUUCCUUGCCGUGGCGAAGGGGCUUGAAUAACUCAGAGAAGCUAUGAGCUAUGCCGUGCAGGGCCACCCAAGAUGGACAGGUCAUAGUGGAGAGUUUUGACCAAACGUGAUCCACCUAGAGCAGGAACUGGCAAGCCACUCCAGUAUCCCUGCCAAGAAAACUCCAUGGACAAAGGCAACAGGCCAGCCAGAUACCCCUGGGAAUAAACUCUCCUCUUGCAAUUCCCAACAACUGGCAUUCAGAGUCAUACUGCCUCUGAGAGUGGAAGAAGGGCAUACAGUGGUACCUCGGGUUACAUACGCUUCAGGUUACAGACUCCGCUAACCCAGAAAUAUUACCUCAGGUUAAGAACUUUGCUUCAGGAUGAGAACAGAAAUCAUGCUCCAGCAGCGCGGCGGCAGCAGGAGGCCCCAUUAGCUAAAGUGGUGCUUCAGGUUAAGAACAGUUUCAGGUUAAGAACGGACCUCCAGAACGAAUUAAGUUCUUAAUCCGAGGUACCACUGUAAUCAUUUUGACCAUUAUUCAGUGACAGCCUUAUCCUCCAUGGUUUUUGUCUAAUCCUCUGUUGAAGUUAUCCAAGUUGGUGGCCAUCACUAUCUCAGAACCUCUGAGUGUUUCUAUAUUCCAGGGCCAGUCCCGGAUUUACAGUAGCCGUCCCGAUUUCUGAUUUGAUCCCAGAAUGUCCCGCUUUUCCUUAGGAUGUCCCUAUUUUCAUCGGAUAAAUGUUGGAGGGUAGGGAGUUAUGCGACCCUCGAGCCAAGGAGAUAAGUAACUGCACAAGCUUUAGAAGACAUCUAAAGGCAGCCCUGUAUAGGGGAGCUUUUUUUUUAAUGUUUAAUGUUUUAUUAUGUUUUUAUAUACAGUGGAUGCUCGGGUUGUGAACGGGAUCCAUGCGGGAUGCACAUUCGCAAGCCGCAGCAGCACAUCUGUGCACACAUGGGUUGAGAUUCAGCGCUUCUGCACAUGCUCAAAGCACAAUUUAAUCUUCUGCACAUGCGCAACAGCCGAAACCCGGAAGUAACCCAUUCCGGUACUUCUGGGUUUCAGCGGUCCGUAAGCCAAAAAAAUGCAAUCUGAAGCGUCUGUAACCCAAGGUAUGACUGUAUGUUGGAAGCUGCCCAGGGUGGCUAGAGAAAACCAGUGAGAUGGGUGGGCUAUAAAUCAUCAUCAUCAUCAUCAUCAUCAUCAUUGACUAGGACAUCCCUAUUUGCACCGGAGAAAAGUUGAAGGGUAUGCUAUCUCUUCUGGGAAUGAAUUCCAUUGUUUUCAAUCCACUGCGUAAAGAAGAACUUUCUUUUGCCUGUCCUAAAUUUUCCAAUUUUCAGGUUCAUUUGAUGUCCAUGAGUGAAACCAGGUGAUUCUAGACUUUGGAGGUUCAUCAGUCUUUGUUGAUUUUACCAGUGCAGUAAAGUGAAUCCUAUCUGCAGAAACCCAAAUGCCAGCUAUCAAAAUACAUCCUCUUUCAGGUGGGUGAAUAAUUCAGGUAUUUCAUGGGUAGAUGCACUUGUGCCUACUGCUGAUCAUUUAGGGAUCUGCACUAAGCUAGCCAAAAGUUGAGAUGCAAGUGGUGGGCGGAUUUACAAAUCUAGCCCAGCAGCCAGAUCCAAUUCCUUGCCACUGCCUCAGACUAAACCAGAAAAUACCCAAGACUCGCUUCCACCCAAAGACUGGAAGACUGGACAUCCCUCUUUGCUGAAGGUGGCAAGUAAGCAACCAUUAAUCAGUAAUUAUGGCCUCUGUUGUGUUUUAGAGGCUUCUGGGCAAAUGUACAGUGGACAUUUGCAUUAUACUUGCAACCAGUAAAACUGAAUUGUACCUUUUUUAAUUUUUGUGACCUAUAUUCCUGUUCCUGAUUUCACAGUCCUAAUAAUCAUUUUAAAGAUAUUUAUUGUACCCUGCCCAUCUGACUGCGUUGCCCCAGCCACUCUGAGUGGCUCCCAACAGAAUAUAAAAAGAACGCAACAAACAUCAGACAUUGAAAUCUUCCCUGUACAGGGCUGCCUUCAGAGUAUAAUUGCUCUUUGACAUCUGACGGGAGGGCGUUCCACAGGGCGGAAACCUCUGCCUGGUUCCCUGUAACCUCACUUCUCGCAAUGAGAGAACCGCCAGAAGACCUUUGGAGCUGGACCUCAGUGUCCGGACUGAACAAGGCGGGUGGAGUUUAGGUAUAUAGGGCCACAGCCAUUUGAGGCCUUAAAGGUUGACCAUGGUAAAUUGUUCCACUGACCAGUGUUGGUAUAUUAUGCAAUGCUGGUUUGUCAGGGCAUCUUCAAGAGUUGUAACAAAUACUGUUAACUGUGAAGCUCGUUAAGACUUGUGAGGUGUUAGAGUGGAGCACAAGAAAAGCCUCAGGGUAGAAGGAGGCAAUUACUCAUCUCUACUAGCAGGCAAUCCUGCCAACCUAGCAGUUCGAAAGCACGACAAAGUGCAAGUAGAUAAAUAGGUACUGCUCCGGCGGGAAGGUAAACGGUGUUUCCGUGCGCUGCUCUGGUUCGCCAGAAGCGGCUUAGUCAUGCUGGCCACAUGACCCGGAAGCUGUACUCCUGCUCCCUCGGCCAAUAAAGCGAGAUGAGCACCGCAACCCCAGAGUCGGCCACGACUGGACCUAAUGGUCAGGGGUCCCUUUACCUUACUAGGAGACAAAGGAUGCUAAAGGCAGAGAUGAGGAACCUGUGCCCACGACCCGGCCAAUAUUUCUGGACUCCAACUCCCAUUAUCACAUGUGCACGCACACUUACACACAACAGCAAGCAAGGGAAGAUGGGAAUUGUAGUCCAGUCGCAUCUGGAGGGGCAGAAGUUUACCACCCCUGCUUCAAAGAGAUAUCCAGAGAUAUUCUGGUACUCAGUACUAGGCAGGGAAUGGGGAACCUCAGGCCUGAGGCCAAAUGUGGCCCUCCAGCCUUCUCUAUGCGGCCCUCAGGACUCUCCCCAGGCCACACAUCCUCCCACAGGCUACACCUCCUUGAGUGAUUUUGCCAGGCUGGAAUGUGUGCUUGAACCAUGAUCAUGUGUCUUCCUGUCUUGUGUGGAGGAUGGAGAUAGAAGGAGAAGGAGAAGGAGAAGGAGAAGGAGAAGGAGAAGAAGGAACUUCUGACCUCUGUGUAGCUGGAAUGUAAGCUACUGUACAAAGGUUAAGAGUUGCAUCCAUUGUUCCACCUGCUUUUGCACAACUCUUGGACUCAAAAAAGCUUCCCAGCCCCUUAAGAAACAUAGAACCUGCUGACCCAGAAGUAGUGGUGGAGGAGAGGUUCAAUUCAGUUCACAUUUAAAGGCAAACUUAACCAAAUUCUCUCUUCUUGAAACAGUAUGUGAACAAAAAUGGAGCCAUCCUUCGAGAUUUGCACUUUUCUGAUUUUUGCAACGCAGUUCUGCAGCCAAGUAAUGUGUACCAAAAAAAGGCAUAUACUAAGGUAACGUGUGCAUUAAAAUGCACAUAUGUGUGAAAGUAAGAAUAUGCAUCAUAGAUGGGGAAACUGCUUUGCAAAAAUGUGCAUAUUAAGAAUUGUGCAUAUUAGGAGAAAUUUGCGCUAAAAUGUUGAUGAAUUUUCACAAAGACUUUAAAAAAAUUCACAGACUGAUGUGGAAAUGAGGAGAACCGAACUUGCAACUGGAAAAAUGUGAAUCACCCAUCCUUUACCAAAAGACAAGGGGAUAGAAAGGAAGGGCUAAGAUGAUAUUGUGGCUUGACUGUGAUGCAUAGGAGGAGAGGUCAAGGAACAGCUCACACUUCCACUGAGGAUUGUCUACACCUCCUACUUCAGGAAUUAUCUCUUCCCUGGCUAACUUUUCCACCUCCACUAACAGCAAGAGGAGCCAUCUUCUCUUAGCUAUUUUGGGAAGCCUCCCUCUGUGCAAUCUGUUGCAGAAUUUCUCUUCCAAGCCAAAUUACAAAAUAAACAGAAACAUACUCCAGGAUGUGGCACAAGCGGCCUUUGCCAAGUGGGCUAUCCUUAGCACUAUACAAACAAGUAACUGGAGGAGGUUUCGAUCCUCUUCCUAGCCAAGAGUUUAAAUUUAACCCCUAAAGACCAUCCUUCCUUUUGCACACACAGAGAGAAAGAAAUUUGGCUGCAUCCACAAUAUACAUUUAGAGCACUGUGAUAUGGCGCUAUUAAACAGUCACAGCUUCCUUCUAAAGAAUCCUGGGAACUGUAGUUUGUGAAAAGCCCCCCUCCCAUGGAACUACAAUUCCCAGAGUGGUUUAACAACCAACCCAGGGAACUCUGGGAAUUGUAGCUCCGCUGCAAGGGGUCUCCUAACAUACUUCAGCACCCUUAACAAAUGACAAUUCCCAUGAUUCUUUCGGGGUUGCCAUGACUGUUUGAAGUGGUGGGGUGAGCUCCUGCUGCUCUGUCUAAGCUCUUGGCAGCCUAGCAGUUCAAAAGCAUGCCAGUGCAAGUACAUAAAUAGGUACCACUGCGGCAGGAAGGUAAACGGCAUUUCCGUGCGCUAUGACUUCCAUCACAGUGUCCCGUUGCGCCAGAAGCUGUUUAGUCCUACUGGCCACAUGACCCGGAAAGCUGUCUGUGGACAAACGCCGGCUCCCUCGGCCUGAAAGCGAAAUGAGCACCACAACCCCACAGUCGGCUUUGACUGGACUUAUCCGUCCAGGGGUCCUUUACCUUUUUUACCUUAAAGUGGCAUGAUACCACUUUAAACAUAUAGUGCAGAUGGCACAGAUAUGGGUAGAUAUCUCCAUCCCUGGUUCCAAUGCAUUAAUCUACCUCCCACUCUCACCAAGGGCUGCACAUUUGCUACACCCAACGUGUGACAAAGCAGUAUCAUCCAUUGUAUUAAAGAGGGCAACGUUCACCUUUUAGCACUUGGAUUUCUGACAGCCGCCUGCACAGGGCUGGAUGGGAGAGCCUGACAAAUAACUCAGGCAGCUAAUUACCCCCUCCGUGUUGUCAAGCUCGGAACAUUAGCAAGUUGCCAAUUGGCAUUAGGAAAGCUGCCUGCUUUUGGCCUAGGUGUGAAUUGACUGGCAGACUGCAAGCCAGUGCAUGAUCACUCCUGCAAAGGGUUUCAUAUCUCAAAGCAUUUUCAAAACACAAAGCUGCUUCCCAUACGAUGACAAAUUCCACAGAGACAGCUGUGUUAGUCCGUUACAGCUUUGCAUACAAAAUGUCACUCGGAGUGUACUUAUUGCAUUUCAUCGCCUUUUCCUCCCACCAUUUACAAUUUGGUUCUCUAUAGCGCCGAACGGGACUAUUUGCCCCGCGAAGAUGACAACGCUUCGUGCAUCUAACGACUGACCUCCAGCUCAUGCUAAACAAUCAGCCUUGAAGUGCCAGGAAAUUCAUUGUGUGGAUGCACACAUAGUGGGUUAUCUGCUUGCAUGGCAGAAAACUGAGGGCACUCCUUGUGCGGACAUCAUCACAGGACAAUCUUAAUCUGCUUGAGGGAUAAGCAAAUUAUGGUCCAAAGGGUAUCAAGGAUAGCCCCCAGAUAGAAAGCCAAAUUCGAGUAUGAUUCAUCCAUGACCUGAAUCCACAUUCUGCAACCUGAGUUAUACAAAUUAUGCACAUUUAAUAUUCUACUCUACUUCCCCAAAUUACAAGGGAAGAGCAAAUGAACUUUGCUUGAUAACAUAUAUAAUUCACUUAUAUCCAUUGCUUGCUUUUUAAAUAUUUUAAAUCUAUACUGUUUAGAAACUUUAGGAAUUAAAAAGCAGCGGCAAAACCUGCUGGGCCGGCAAUGGGCAGGAAGGAAGUAUAUAAAUGAAUGAAUUGCGUUAAUGAAAUGAAUUAAUAUAUGAGCGCCAUGGGUCUGUUGAUGGGAGAAGAGGUUAAAAAAUAACAGCAGCAGCCAAAUCUCUAUCUUUCUCAUAAACACAUACACACACAUACACACAAUUUUAGAGAGAGAUGGUGGGUGGUGGGGAGGUUCAACCAGGGAGCCUAUAAUUUAUCUACUGGAAGGACAAGAUAAAUGGGCAGCUAUCAACACAGAAAAUGGAGAGUCUUGUCACUGAGGUUCAGGAUUUUACAUUUAUUUUAUGCUUUCAUUCAUGUGUGUUUUACAUAAUUUUAUUCAGAUUUGCAUAAAUUCAAUUUCUCCCAUCCCAUCUUAUUUUAUUUCAAUAUUUCAUUUUAAGUGUUUGUUAAAAGAGGAACAGUGGUUCCCUUUAAAAAAUAAUAAUAAUAAGGGAUGUAUUGUGAUCUGCCAGGGAAAUUUGCUAUGUUAAGUUUAUGUUGCAGUUUCUUUCUGUCUGAGUUAGGAACUACUGAUGUUACUUGCACACAGAGCCAGUGUGGCGUAGUGGUCAGAGUGUUGGACUGGGACCUGGGAGACCAGGGUUCGAAUCCCCACUCAGUCAUGAAGCUCAUCGGGUGAUUUGAGCUUAACCUACAUCACAGGGCUGUAGUUAAGAUUAACGAAGAGUGAGGAACCAUGUACCCCACCUUGAGCUCGUUGGAGAAAUAGGUGGGAUAUAAAUGAUCUAAGUAAAUGAAUACUGCUAAACUGCUGAUUUGUGAUUGUCACAAGUGAAUGACUAGAUACAACCAAAGAAAUAUAAAUUAAUAUACAGUGGUACCUCGGGACGCGGGUGGCGCUGUGGGUUAAACCACAGGGCCUAGGACUUGCCGAUCAGAAGGUUGGCGGUUCGAAUCCCCGCGACGGGGUGAGCUCCCAUUGCUCGGUCCCUGCUCCUACCAACCUAGCAGUUCAAAAGGACCUCAAAGUGCAAGUAGAUAAAUAGGUACCCCUACAGCGGGAAGGUAAACGGUGUUUCCAUGUGGUGCUCUGGUUUGCCAGAAGCGGCUUAGUCAUGCUGGCCACAUGACCCGGAAGCUGUACGCUGACUCCCUCGGCCAAUAAGUGAGAUGAGCGCCGCAACCCCAGAGUCGGUCACGACUGGACCUAAUGGUCAGGGGUCCCUUUACCUUUUACCUUUACCUCGGGUUACAAACACCUCAGGUUACAAACACUUCGGGUUACAGACUUUGCUAACCCGGAAGUAGUACCUCGAGUUAAGAACUUUACCUCAGGAUGAUAACAGAAGUCGAGCAGCGGCAGUGGGAGGCCCCAUUAGCUAAAGUGGUACCUCAGGUUAAGAAUGGUUACAGGUUAAGAACAGACCUCCGGAACAAAUUAAGUUCGUAACCAGAGGUACCACUGUAAUCUCCCCCCCACACACACACACACAUUACUCUGCUUUCUACUGCUGGGCAGGUCAUUAAACAGUUUCUCCAUUUGCAACAAGCAAGGAUCGCUGCCAGUCUUUCCAAGAAUUUUGGCAUGUAUUGGCAGUGCCCAGCACCUAAAAGCUACGCAUUAAAUUACUGCAAAAGUAAGAGUUGAGAAAGCAUCAGCAAAGUGUAUAUUGAAGUUUGCUGUUUAAUUAAUAAAUGAUAGUGUUGCAUGCGUGCCAAAACAGAAUCAGCCGUGAAGGCUUCUUACACCCACCCAAAAAAACAGGCAUGUGAUUCUGGUUGAUAUUUCAAAGGAUCAUCUGAAAAGCCUGGGCCCAGCAGCCAGGCCCGAUUAAUCUUUGAUGGAGUACGCCAUAUGCCUGCACUCAAGAGGUACAAGCAACGGCCAAUCUCCCUGAAUUUUACGACUAUAUCCGAGUAAAAUAGUUAUGCAGUGCAUAAUUUUGCAUUAGCUUUGUCAGAUAAAUAUACAUGUGUGCGCUGUGUUUUCAAUUUGCUGCAGCACAAUGCUAAAAGUCAUUAGCAUUUUAAGGACUACACGAGGACGGAGAUGUCCCAUUUUCCGAAUACCGUGCAACUCAGCCAUUUCCUCCGCGCGCAUAAAAUAUAUCUCCUGAUUUAUAUGUGUGCUCGUAUGAUUCUCAAACCGAAAGAAAUGAAUAAAAUCACAUAAUCUGAUUCUCUUCCGAAAUUAGAUUUCCCUCCCUGUGUAUAAACAAAUAAAUCAGACUGUGGAAACCAUUCCUAAUCAAGAGAGCCGGAGGGUGGGGGGGAGAAGGAAGGCACAAAAUGUGUGUUAACUGGAGUAGCAGAACACAGUUUUAAUAACUAGGCACACACACAAAAAAACACAUUUCAUUCCAAAGGUGAGAGCGAGAAAAAAAUGUGUAGGGACAGGUAGUGUCUUCCUCCUGAAACGAAAGUGCAGGACGGUGGAUUCGUACAGUUGUGUCCAAUGCUAGUCCUAUUCAGAGUAGACCCAUUGAAAUUAAGGACCAUGACUAACUUAGUUCCAUUAACUUCAAUGGGUCUACUCCAAGUAGGACUAGUAUUAGAUACAACCCACUGUUUAACCCACUGUGGACAGGUGGGGUCAAAUGCACCCUCAACAGUACUGGGAGAAAUCAUAAAACCACUGCUCUGUCUCCCUUUCCCCCCCUUGUACUCUGGUGAUUGCUAAGAAUUGGGAUAUGGGGAACGACCACAGUUCAGUGGUAGAGCAUCUGCUAGCACACAGAAAGUGUCAGGUUCAUGGAGCUAGCUGACCUCACUGGAAGAAUCCGUGACCAGAAAGAAGAGGAAUAUCAAGAAGAUUGGAAGAAAUUUGAAGACUAUUUAAAUAGAUAUUGUAACAUUAAAAAUUAGAAGUUACCUGAAAAUAUCAAUUAGGCCUAGGAUUAAAUUAGGAUUUAAUUAAAUAAAUGAGAUUUAGAAGGUUAAGAAAAGUUAAGAAACUUGACUAUAAUUGGAAUUUAUUUAUUUUUAAAUAAUGAUAUUGGAAAACUGCUACAUUUAGUUACAAGGAAAUUCAGACGGGAGGGACUAGAGGAAGUCAAGUAAUAUGUUUAUGAGGUUGGAAGUUUAAUCAAUUAUUAAUUUGUAUUGUAUUUAUGUGUUUGUUGUUAUAUCUUUUGUUGUUAUUUGCUUUAUUUGUUUUAUUUCUCUUUUUAUUUUAUUUGUUUUUCAGUAUGUGUUAUAUUUGUAAGAAACCUAAUAAACAUUAUUCGGGGGGGGGGAGAAAGUGCUAGGUUCAACCCCCAGCGUCUCCAGGGAGGGCUGGGGGAGACCCUUGCCUGAAACAGGACAGCUAGUCAAUGUAGACAAUAAUGAGGUAGUAAGGUUCUUGAAGAGGGACGCGGGUGGUGCUGUGGGUUAAACCACAGAGCCUAGGACUUGCCGAUCAGAAGGCUGGCGGUUCAAAUCCCUGCAACGGGGUGAGCUCCCGUUGCUCAGUCCCUGUUCCUGCCAACUUAGCAGUUCGAAAGCACAUCAAAGUGCAAGUAGAUAAAUAGGGACCACUCCGGCGGGAAGGUAAAUGGCGUUUCUGUGUGCUGCUCUGAUUCGCCAGAAGCGGCUUAGUCCUGCUGGCCACAUGACCCAGAAGCUGUCUGCGGACAAACGCUGGCUCCCUCAGCCUAUAGAGCGAGAUGAGCGCGCAACCCCAGAGUCGGUCACGACUGGACCUAAUGGUCAGGGUUCCCUUUAAGGUUCUUGAAAGCUUCCAUGAACAGUGUCUCCAAAAAAAUGUACACAUCACUGGGGAAGACAGGCGAACUAAUGCCAGUGUACUGGAAGAAGCAAACAUCACCAGUGUCAAAGCAAUGAUUCUUCAACAUCAACUUUGUUGGACUGGUCAUGUUGUGUGGAUGCCUGAUUAUCAUCUUCCAAAGCAACUACUCUAUUCCAAACUUAAAAAUGGAAAGUGUAAUGCUGGUGGUCAACAAAAGAGGCUUAAAGACUGUCUCAAGGCAAAUCUUUAAAAAUGUAGUAUAAACACCGACAACUGGGAAACACUGGCCUGUGAGCGCUCCAGUUGGAGAACAGCCUUUGCCAAAGGUGUCAUGGGCUUUGAAGACACUCAAACUCAGGACGAAAGGGAGAAACAUGCUAAGAGGAAGGCAGGCUUGGCAAACCCUCACCAUGAUCAACUCCCACCCGGAAACCACUGUCCCCACUGUGGAAGGAUGUGUGGCUCCAGAAUUGGCCUCCACAGUCACUUAUGGACUCACAGUUAAAACCGUGUUCAUGGAAGACAAUCUUACUCGGCUACAAGAGAUCGCCAAAGAAGAAGACUGAACUAGAUGGACCAAUGGACUAACUCACUAUAAGGCAGCUCCCUUUUGAUUUCCCGCAAUCCUUCUGACAUAGCACUACACUGAAGCAUUGUGGGAAAUUUAAAUGGCAGCCCCCAUUGGGGGAUCUGGGAGCAACCAUUUUAAUGGAAAAUGGAGCAGGAAGAGCACUGUGGAUUUCUGAGGGACUAUCUAUUGAAACCUUUCCAAAGUGCUGUAAGAGGUACUGGCAGACAUGCAGGUGCCCAUAGGUGCCCAUGUUGGCAUUCCAGCAUCCUAAAGGGAACUUAUAGCAGAGCUUUACUAUGCCCCCAGUACCUCCAAUCUGCGAGAACAGUUGGCUUUCCUCUUUUACACUCAGGAGAGCUUUCUUGACAAAGCAUGUAUUGCCUGCAACCAACUUAAAUUAAUGUGUUUUGGAUAUCGGCCAGCACAGGAAACAAAUUGGCCCUUGCAGCUUUCUAAGCAUACCUUGAAAGGUAAUGAGGCAAAGGAAACACAGGUGCUUAAGGAGGAGGGGGGAGAGCCCUGAACAGCCACAACGUAAGCUGAAAAGAGCCCCCCCGAUGCAACACGAGGAAUACACUACCGUGUCACCCACUAAUCACCCAACUGUCCCCCACACUUCAGUAAACAGAGAACACGGCUUAGCAUCUUGGGCCAAGCUAGCAGAAAGCAAAGGAAGGAUCCCUUAGUAUGGCAGCAAUGAACGCUUAGCAGACCACGGGCCAGAUCCAAACUGCAAGGACUGGGAAGGCUAUCACUGAGGGAUGCUGCUUUCCAUAAUCGAGGUUUGCUCCCCCAGCAUCUCCAGGAAUAAUAAUAAUAAUAAUAAUAAUAAUAAUAAUAAUAAUACAGUGGUACCUCGGGUUAAGAACUUAAUUCGUUCUGGAGGUCCGUUCUUAACCUGAAACUGUUCUUAACCUGAAGCACCACUUUGGCUAAUGGGGCCUCCUGCUGCCGCUGCUCGAUUUCUGUUCUUAUCCUGAAGCAAAGUUCUUAACCCGAGGUACUAUUUCUGGGUUAGCGGAGUCUGUAACCUGAAGCGUAUGUAACCCAAGGUACCACUGUAAUAAUAAUAAUAAUUUUAUUUAUAUCCUGCCCUCCCCAGCCAACGCUGAGCUCAGAGCGGCUAACAACAGUAAAAAUAGCACAAUUUACAUAAAAUCACAGUCAAUUAAUUGAAAUACAUUCUAAAAUCAAUUCAGAAUCAAAUUAAUGGAAACCAUUGGGCUAGAGUUCUAUGAGGAUUACAGAAGGAGAGAGGGGGUCAGACUGUGCCUUGGCCAAAGGCCUGGUGGAACAGCUCUGUCUUGCAGGCCCUGCGGAAAGAUGUCAAGUCCCGCAGGGCCCUAGUCUCUUGUGACAGAGCAUUCUACCAGAUCAGGGCCACGGCCGAAAAAGCCCUGGCUCUGGUUGAGGCCACCCUAACUUCCCUGUGGCCCGGGACCUCCAAGAUGUUUUUAUUUGAAGACCAUAGGGUCCUCCAUGGGACAUACCAGGAGAGGCGGUCCCGUAGGACUAGGAACGUCCCCAGAAUGAAACCCUGGAGAGUUGUUGCCAAGCAGUGCAGACAAAUACAGUGCUAGACAGACCAAUGGCCUGAGAUUCAGUAUCAGGCAGCUUUCUGUGUUCCUCAUUUGAUAUUUACUUGGGUGCAGUUAUGUACUGGCAACUCAGGAAGUGCAGGGUCCCUUUGUGAUACUAACAGUCAUGCCCCCUUCUAAGAUUAUACAGCCUUCUAAGAUUAUCCAGUGGUCAUAUAAUUAUACAACAAUAAAAACGAAGGAUGCUUUGCAAUGAUGUGCUGCCUUUCCACUAGAUCUAGUAUUUUCUGUGCACCCGCAUGGGCAAAUAAUUUGGAGUGCUCCGCUAUCUUAUUUCAGAACGGCUCAAGUCGUGAUUUCCUAGAAGUUUCAGGAAACAGAAUUUGCACACCAUUCUUUUGAAACACAUUGUGUUUGCCAGGUCAAGGUUUUCUGCAUGUUUCCGUCCUCUCCCUCCUAAAUCUGUUCUAGGAGUUCCCUCAAGCCUGGGGAGGGCAGAGGGCAUGCAAGGGAAAGGGAGAAGCUCUGUUUGCAGAAGUGCACAUCCUUGGAGUGGCAGGACACCUUAGCUGGAAACCACCCAUUAUUUUAUUCUUGACAUCUUUCCCACCAAGGGCUCCUUUGGGAGGAAGUAGAAGGUAAAGGGACCCCUGACCAUUAGGUCCAGUCGUGGCCGACUCUGGGAUUGCGGCGCUCAUCUCGCUUUAUUGGCCGAGGGAGCCGGUGUACAGCUUCCGGGUCAUGUGGCCAGCAUGACUAAGCCACUUCUGGCGAACCAGAGCAGCGCACGGAAAUGCCAUUUACCUUCCCGCCGGAGCGGUACCUAUUUAUCUACUUGCACUCUGACGUGCUUUCGAACUGCUAGGUUGGCAGGAGCAGUGACCGAGCAAUGGGAGCUCACCCCGUUGUGGGGAUUUGAACCGCCGACCUUCUGAUCAGCAAGUCCUAGGCUCUGUGCCACCCACAUCCCCCUUGGGAGGAAGAGGGGGAUGUAAAUUUUAAAGCAAACAAACAAAUAAAUAAAUAUGGGCACAGAAACAAUAGCUGGCUCUCUUGUAGUUGCAUUCCAGCAACUGGUAUUCAAAGGCUCUGAUCCUUCCCUGUGAAGUUGACCCAUCCCCUUUUAAACUUGCUGGCCACUGCUUUAACUGCAAGACUCCAUCAAUUUCCUUAGUCCUGAAGGAGCAUCUCCACCCCUGUCAUUCAGCGCAGACACUGAGGUCCAGCUCCAAAGGCCUUCUGGCAGUUCCUUCACCGCAAGAAGUGAGGUUACAGGGAACCAGGCAGAGGGCCUUCUCGGUAGUGGCACCCGCCCUGUGGAAUGCCCUCCCAUCAGAUGUCAAGGAAGUAAACAACUAUCUGACCAUUAGAAGACAUCUGAAGGCAGCCCUGUUUAGGGGAGUUUUUAAUGUUUAAUGUUCUAUUAUGUCUUUGCAUAUGCUGGAAGCCAUCCAAAGUGGCUGGGGAAACCCAGUCAGGUGGUCAGGGUACAAUUAUUAUUAUUAUUAUUAUUAUUAUUAUUAUUAUUAUUCUCUUCUCACUGCAGCCUUCUUGGCUACCUUCUCUCAACAAUCGGUCACCACUAUUCUGUCCACAAACCUCUCAUUUCAGUGUGUGGGUCCAACCAGUCAAAACAAGUUACAGGUUAUACCAAGUGGGUGGGGGAAAUAGUCAAUCUUAUUCAACACCCACCAACACAGAUUGGCAUUUCAUCGCUGGCGCUUCACUAAAGCUACCUGCCCCAUGUGAUGCACAAUAUUCGUAAUGUCAAGACCUAUUAUUACCUCCCACUAUGGCAAUUUAAUACAACGCGCAAUUAAGAAUCAGUAUUCGUGUCAGUGGACCCGCUGAGCUGUUAACCUUACACAAAACAGACCUGCCAGUGUCCAGCGCAACGCAGAGUGAAAAAAACAUUUGCAGCUUAUCUCAAAAGGUUUCUGUUUGUUUCCCUACUUUCCACAGGUUGUUGAUCGCCAUUGCAGUCGACUGAUCCGGUAGCCAUUCAGUUUGUCAACAUGGCCACAGGCCUCUGAGCUAUAUCAUUGGAGUCGUAUCACAUUCCUGGCCUUGCUUCAGUCUAAUGAAUGCAAAGGCAAACAUCACCCACAUGAGACAUACGUCAGAUACAGUGGUACCUCAGGUUACGAACUUAAUUUGUUCUGAAGGUCCGUUCUUAACCUCUCUGGGCAACUUCCAACAUACAUAAAAACAAAAUAAAACAUUAAGCAUUUUUUUAAAAACCAAAAAAACCCCACCCUUCUCUAUACAGGGCUGCCUUCAAACUGCUCAGGGGUUGGAUAACUCCACGCCUUCCAACGUUUUCCCAACGAAAAUAGGGCUUCCUAAGGAAAAGCGGGGCAUACGGGGAUCAAAUCAGAAACUGGGAUGGCUACUGUAAAUCCGGGACUGUCCCUGGAAAACAGGGACACUAGGAGGCUCUGCUACUGGGGUGGAGAAACUGAGAGGCAACACUUUGUGGAAGGUCACCAGCUGCUGUCAAGUGUGGAGAGCCAAGGAGUUAUUGGGGUAGGGUGGGGUGGAAGUGGGGGGCAUGGGAGGAGGCAGAAACUAACAUUUCAUCUCAGGUGUGGAAUUGGAUGCGCCGUCCCUGUACUGAGGCAUCUUGCUGAUGGCACAGAAGGUAUUAGUGGGUACAUUUGCACCUGUGGACUCUACACUGAUUAUCCUGGUCAAACGGCAGCAUGCUAGAAAGGCAAUAAAAUCCAGAAAAAUGGGGAUAGGCCACUGUAACAGAUCUAGACCACCAUAGUUGUCAACCAUCCCUUAUUUGGCGGGAAAGUCCCUUAUCCCAGCGCUGUGUCCCGCUGCUGUCCCUUAUUGAGGAUGUCCCUUAAAUUUCCCGGGUUUCAAAGGAAGCAGCUCCUCUCCCUCCCUCCCUGCUGGCCAGGGAGGAGGGAGGCUCCAACUGUGUUGCUUGGCUGCGUUGCUCACCCAAUAAGGAGUCGACUGGGGGGCUUGCAUGCCUUGUGCCGAUCAAAUCGGCCGCGUUGCCUGGGGACUCGCCUUUGCUCAGCGCUUCCCAGCGGAGAGGUGAUGGUGGUUUUCCUUGCUGCAUCCCCUUUGCCGGGUUGCUGUGCUGUGGGAACCAACACUUAUGGCUUCAUUUGGCUGCUGGCUGGGCUUUCUGCCUUUGGCUUGGAGGGGCUCAGAAGUUGAACAUACCUGUGCUUGGAAAAUCCCUUAUUUUGGCUGCUGGUCCCUUAUUUUCAAAUCUGUAAGUUGACAGCUAUGCUAGACUAGCCAAGAAAAUAAGCCUGCAGAGAAAGCUAGGUGUCUCUGCAGGUAUUCAGAACUGGCUACAACUCCACCAGAGGAGCAAGGACGCAGGAGAUAACAAGUGAGUGCCUUUGUUUCUAAUAUUUCAAAUUAAACACUGGAGCUGUUCCAUAGGGUUCAUCUCUAUCUCUCCCUCUUCAUGGUAAGGGCAUCUUUUCCAUCAUCUAAUUUGCAGAUUGCCCAAGGCACUCCCUGACAAUCUGAAGAAAGCUCUACAGCUUUCAGUGCGACGGCACGAGCAGACGCUAACGGAGGCGAGCAGGAGGUGAAGAUUGGAAAGGUGAUGGCAUAAUACGAAAUGCUGUACGGCUUUAUCAGAGGAAAGAAAAAAGCCCCACUGAACAACCCAGUAAAAUUUAAAAACAGCGUGGUUCCAACAUUGCCAGCAGGGGGGUCGAUAACCUUUAUAGGACCGGGAGGCACGUUUUUGAUUUAGAGAGUGUGCUGUGGGCACAAGUCACAAAAUAGCUGCCGUGGAGGAAGGGGCAGAACACAAAAUUGGAGAGACAGCCACUCUUGUGGGCAAUGCAUUCGUUGGGGACAGAAUAUGCUGCCGCUGGGGAUCCUGCCACCUGAGGCAGACUCCUCACCUUGCCUCAUGGGUGGGCUGGCCCUGAUUGCCCUCAAGCCCUGAGCCUCUGCAUGACGACCGUGAGAAACAGGAAGUUGGAUGUGAUGGAUUCAGCUGAGCUCCGUCGGAUGCUAAAUUUUGUUUCUCCUUCAUGUGUUGUGGGAGUGAAACUAUUUUGGCAACCAGAGCCUAGAAACUUCCAUUUUAUUUUGAGAACAGUUUGUCUUUCUGAACCUUUGAAUGCUAUAGUUGGAUGCCUUCCAGCUAUCUAUAUAAGGGGCCUGACAGGCCAGCGCCGUUACUGGGGGUAGACAGCUCUUCUGGUUGCCAGACAGAAAAUCUGGUGAGGCUGGAUUGCUAAAAAUAUUCUAGACAUUCAACCGCAGGCUGAAAACAGAUCUCGUUUGGCAUCAAUUGGAAUUUAGUAAAUUGGAUAAAAAUUGAUCAUUUUCAAUCAAUCCAUAUCCUUUUUCUGUUAGGAUGUUAUGUGUAAGUGUGUUUGCAGGUAAGUUGCCUAGUGGCAAUUUUGAGAAUAUAAUUAUUAUUAUCACCAUAAUCAUCCUUGAUUUAUUGAUCACCUUCUAAACAACCAUCUUGAGGCACUUUACACAUUAGACAAUUAAAAACAUUUAAAAACAUGAAAGCAGCAAAUACAUUUAAAACAAGGCGAGAACAAAAUUUGAGACAGCAACACGGAUACUACUGGUCCAGAGAUAGAAAUAAGACAAAGUUCCAACCAGAGAUGAACGGCUGAUGAAGAUGAUGGACUACACCGAAAUGGCGAAAUUGACUGGGAAAAUCAGAAACCAGGAAGAGAAGAAUUUUAAGAAGAAAUGGGGGAAAAUUAUGAUGCAUUUAAGAGAACACUGUACUGUAAACAGCUUAAAACUUCAGCAGGAUUUGAGUAAUGCUUGUAAUGUACGAAAAACUAUAGUAAAAAUGGAUUGUUUUUCUUAAAAAAUAGAGAAAAUAAGGGAAGCAGUUGGGGGAGAGAUUGAUAAUGGUAACCAUGGAAGGGUGGAGGGAAGUCGAAGGAUUCAGGAAAUCCUAAAUGAUAAUGUGGAUGUUUUGUUGGAAUUUAAAUUUGUUUUAAAACACAUGCCAGCUUUUUAUGUGUGAUUUUAUCUUAUUUUUAUAUUUUCGAACUGUUGGUUUUAUUUGCAUUGGAUUUUUUUUUAGGUUAGCUUGUUUUUAACUCUGAGUUUUAAUCAAGAAUCUUAAUGUAUAUUUAGUAUUCUGUAAACCACUUUGGGGUUUUUAAGACUGAGCCAUGUGAAUGCAGCUGUAAUUUUGUUUUGAAACAAUUCAAAUAAAAUGCUAUAUAUUUAACUUGAAAAGUUUGGCAUGGCUAUCCUAUGUAAUGGGUUUAUAAUGGUUUAAGCCUGUUCUUAUUUUUUUCCCUUUCCCUUUCUCUUUCUUGAGAAAAAGACUAUAACUAUAAAAGUACUCUGUGUGUGUGUAUGUAUGUGCACGGCGCACCUUAAAAGUAUCAUAUAACAAUUAUUUUAUAAUUUAAACAUAUAUCAGUAUAUUAAGACUCCUUUCGAUUUAAAUUUUUAUAGAAUGCCCAUACACCUAGCAAACGCUUAUGCACCACAAGCAUAAUAUGUCUCAUUACGGGUCAAGUUCAAUGGGAUUUACCAUCUGAUAGGCAUGUUUGAGAUUUGCAGCAAUAGUAUAAUAAGAUUCUGGUCUGCGUGCACCCUCUCAAACUAGCCAGAUGUGGACAUUUAGCAAUAUAGCCCAUCUGGGAGCGACAGCAUAUGCUGAACGGAGCUUAAAUAUCCGUGACCUAGUCAUUCCAUUUUGACCGAUCCUUUCCUCAGAGCCAUCUAGCAUCAAAGGAUAGACGCCCCCCCCCCAAGUGCCUUCACCACCCCCAAGUGUGCUGCAAAACUGAAACUUCUGCCCAUAGGCCAGCCUCUGGCAUUACAGUGCCCUUAGCAUUCCCCAUCUCCAAAGGGGGUGUUUGAACUUCGGAAACUUAAGCGCAAGGUGGAAAUCAGGAGUCUUUGGGAAACCUCUGGGCCUUGUUAUAGAAUACAAAUGGAUGUUGCUGUCCUCAAACGAUGAAGGUCAAAAGUAGAAAGGCAGUGUUAUUAUGACGAAUUGUUAUACAGUGGUACCUCUGGAUGCAAACGGGAUCCGUUCCAGAGCCCCGUUCGCAUCCUGAAGCAAACACAACCCAGGUCUGCACGCGCGCGGGUCGCGAUUCGCCACUUCCGCGCAUGUGCAUGACGUCAUUUUGAGCAUCUGCGCAUGCGCGAGCACCGAAACCCGGAAGUAACGCACUCUGUUACUUCCGGGUUGCUGCGGAGCGCAACCCGAAAAUGCUUAACCUGAAGCUACUUCAACCCAAGUUAUGACCAUCUUGGGCCAAAGAACCACUGCGUCUCAAGCACUUAGUCCACCAACAGGAAUUAAAUGCAUUAAUUUAUUUAAAGUACAGUGGUACCUCAGGUUAAGUACUUAAUUCGUUCCGGAGGUCCGUACUUAACCUGAAACUGUUCUUAACCUGAAGCACCACUUUAGCUAAUGGGGCCUCCUGCUGCUGCCGCGCUGCCAGAGCCCAAUUUCUGUUCUCAUCCUGUAGCAAAGUUUUUAACCCGAGGUACUAUUUCUGAGUUAGCGGAGUCUGUAACCUGAAGCGUAUGUAACCCCAGGUACUACUGUAUUUCCAAGCCACCCUUCAUCCAAUGGCUUCCGCGGUGGGGUACAAAAAGUACAUGGCAAGACAUUUUAAAUACCACAUUGUCAUUUACCUUGUAAUUUAUAGUAAACAGGACACUUUGGGUGGAAUUAAAUGCCAUUGCCCAGCUGAGAGUCGUGAAGACUGCUCCCUGUAAUCAGGGACGAAGGAUGUACGUGGGGCCGGGCCGCCCCAGGUGUCACCCCUGAGGGGGGUGACAAAAUGCCUCAGCUGUAGGGCGGCUGAGUAGGAGGAGGCAGGCAGACUCCUCAGAGGCCCCAUGGAGCAUCCUGCCCAGUUGGCCCCGCCCCACAACAACUGGCCCCGCCCCACAGGCAGCUGGCCCCGCCCAUGGGCACAGGGCAUGCACGGUGCCCCAGGUACCCAAUUGGCUUGCUUCGCCACUGCCUGCAAGGCCCUUUCCACCUGGCCUAGGUGGGGGGGCCCACACUCACCAGCUCUACCAAAGAGGCCCCUGGUGAGACUAGAGAGACAUUGCUAUGCCUGAAAACAAACCCAAACUAUUGGAUUCUUUUGCCCCAUCUUUUUGCGCCUGCCAAACAGCCGUGUCUUGUUUAUCAUAUUUUAUUCUCUUGUUAAUUAUGCUGUUUUAAAUGUGCAUUUUAUAUUUGACUCCACUUAGCAAUGGUGGGUUGUUGUUGUUUUGAAACGUUUAAGAUUUUUUUCGUUAACUUUGUUUAUGUUAAAUAUGUAUUCUGUAGCUGACCUCCUUUGCAAUGCUUUAUUUUGAACUCUUUAGGAUAAUCUUUUAGUUUUCUGUUAAUUAUGUUGCUUUGACUGCAAACACUAUAUUGGACUUUCUUCAGAAAUGUUUGAUUCUGGAUUGAUUUGUUGAUGUUUUAAUACGGUGUAAACCGCUUGGAGGGUUUUCUUAAAAAUAUAAAGCGGUAUAGAAAUGAAAUAAUAAAAUAAACACUAAGACCAUUGCUCCAUCAACACAAGCAUUUCUGCCUGCCAGAUGGAUCAAUCUCUCCACUCCAUCUCCCCCCGCCCCCUGAGCUGUUCUGGGGAUUCUCCCAACCCAUAGGCCAGAGUUUUCCCCAUCCUGGAUUAAAAAGACCGCACAGCACAGGCUUCAGAUAACUGUUGGCAUCCGCCUGUCUCGUGAAACAAAGAAGUGCGCCUCCAGGGUGAAAGCCACUUCCAACCUACAGAGGAGGUGGGAUUGCAGGCGUCAUGGCCCCAGCCCCUGCGCGAUUGGGGGAAUCCCCAGCUGUGUCACCCCUGGCCAGCCAAUCGGCUGGCUUUGGGGGCGUGGCCUUCCCGAUUUAAACGCAGGCGCAGCCGGGGAUCUCCCUCUUUUCCAGCAUACCAGCUGCUCCAGUUUCCCACCCUCUCACCCUUUAAGGUUUUGACCUUGCUAUGGACCUUGGUUGGUCGCCGUUGAGGGGCCUGGUUGGAAUUUUUCCACUUGGCAAAUUGGCACCAGCCACUUGGUUUUCGCCUACCUUGUAGCAAAUCGCCACAACUUUCUUGGUACUGGCGGUUAGGCAUUGGUAUCAUUUUGUAGAUGGAAGAGGGGAGGAAGCGCCAUCACCUGCCCCGCAUAUUGAAGGGUAGUACGAUAAAGGAUUCCGGGGGGCGUGGCCCUGUCCAAAGCCUAUGGAGGUGAGGGCCUAAGGCACACCCCCUAGCGGUGACCCCGGGGAAGUUCCUAGUUGAUGUGCAUCAGCAGGACUCCCCCUACUGGUGCUUAACCCUUCCCGGACUUCAAGCGGACGGGCUGAAGCCGGAUAUAGCCAGUUAGGACCAAUGCUUAAGCCAAUACCGCUCAUCACCUGUAACCAAUAAAGUUGUGGCCUUAUUUAGCCCAUUAACCUUAAUAAUUGUGUUGCGUGUCUUUAUUUCCACUGGGGGGGGGGACUCACCACACAAGUCAAAUUGCUGUGUUAGCAGCACUGCGAUGACUUCUCAAAAGGUGCAAGCCUGGGCAGCGUGUCUGGCAGUUCUGGGCUGCCCAGAUGGCAAGACCUCCCUCUCAGCCUCGCUGUUGUGGUCCAAAGGAAAGAAAAGCAAUACAUUUGGCACCAGCUUGUCUGCAGGAGUUGCCAGAAGGAGGCGUACAAGGUGCCAUCCUUACAGUCUCCACUCUGGGUGUGAUGGCCUGGGAUUCAGACUCAGAUGCUGAACCUGAGGGAUCCCAGCCUGCACAGGAUUCACCGCCUCCAGAACCAGCUGAGCCGGGGCUGGGGCAUGAGCCUGAAGGGUCCUCACCUGUGCUGGAUCCUCAGGUGCAGGCACCAGCUGACUCUGCUCGGGCCACUGAGGUGAUGGAGGACCCAUUGCCUGUAAGCGCUCCACUCUCAGCCCCAUCAGAGGAAGCUGAGGUUGCCUCUGGGUCCGGUAACCCUCCAGCCUCUCCUGAGCUGCAGAGGCUCAGGGCAGAGAGGUGGAGGGAACUAAGUUCCCGCAGGAGGAGUGCUCGCCUCCAGGCCAGGAGAGGUGAGUCACCUGAAGAUUGGGGCUGCCCUAUGUCUCGGGGCAGAUAAAAACCAGCCAGCCCCAGUCCCAAGUUGUGGGAGCAACAUUGUUGGUUGCUAAUUCCUGCCUGAACCCUGUCCUGCUUUCCUGCCUGACCUCCUGACCCGCCCUGGCUCCCUGCUUGCAAGCCUGUUCCUGACUUCACCCGGCUCCCUGCCCUGCACCCAGCUUCAGCUACUACGGACUGCCUCCACGUUGCACCUUGACCACGGACCAGACUUGGACCUCGCCUCUCGGGUAACUCACGGGACCAGCACACUGGAUUUGUGUAGGGUUUACUCCUUAGCUUUUUCUUCUCCUGAAGAUAUCCCACAAGGCAGAGGAGGUUUAGGAUCAGAAUUUUCCUUCUCCUAGAUCAGUGGUUCUCAACCUUGGGUCCCCAGAUGUUUUUGGCCUACAACUCCCAUGAGCCCUAGCUCACAGGACCAGUGGUCAGGGAUGAUGGGAGUUGUAGGCCAAAAACAUAUGGGGACCCAAGGCUGAGAAAAGCUGUCCUAGUUGGUCUACCUUCCCAGGUUGAGGAGGCCUCUCACUUCCCUCUACAGCAUAUUCAGAAACUGCCUUUUUAAUCACUGGACCCACUGUUAGUCUUGUCUGCUCGGUCCACAGGAGCCUGCCUUCACAUGGAGGGGUGGUCCCUAAUUCACUGAGGGUUUGAGACCCAUCGGCUACCCUCACCUGGUUUAGUUGGCCGGCCAAAGCUGUUCCAGGGGUGUGGCCGCUGUCACAUGCAGACAGCUUCUAGGAGCCACAGGUAAGAGCUGAGUGCAGGGCUCAGAUGACUAGGAGGUGACAAUACAGGCUUUGCCGCUGUCUCACAUCUUCAAAAGAAACCGUCUGCCAAACAGCAUCAAUUGCAUGCAGCUGUAAUGGGCUUGCUAGCUGAACCUUGCUCUCUCAAACACAGCAGCGGGGCUGGUUCUUCAGAUCAUCUCUGCGCCUCCAUAAUAUAGGGAAGGGAAGGGAAGAGCGGGCUGUGGUGCUCCAGGUGUGGCACCUCUCCCAACAGCCCCAGCCAGCUUGGCCAAUGGACAAGGGUGAUAAGAGCUUGUAGUCCAGCAAAAUCUGAAAGGGCCACAGUUCCCCCAGCCUUGAACUAGGGCUUUUACUACCACCUGUGCAACCCUUAACACAUUGCAAUUACACUUCUCCUAGACAUUAUUAACCUAAAGAUGAAAUACAGUUGUACCUCAGGUUAAGUACUUAAUUCGUUCCGGAGGUCCGUUCUUAACAUGAAACUGUUCUUAACCUGAAGCACCACUUUAGCUAAUGGGGCCUCCCGCUGCUGCUGUGCCACCGGAGCACGAUUUCUGUUCUCAUCCUGAAGCAAAGUUCUUAACCCGAGGUACUAUCUCUGGGUUAGUGGAGUCUGUAACCUGAAGCAUAUGUAACCCGAGGUACCACUGUAAUAGCAAAAUAGAGUUCCACUCCCAACCCAGGCUUAUUACCGUAUUUUUCGCUCUGUAAGAUACACCAGACCACAAGACGCACCUAGUUUUUGGAAGAGGAAAACAAGAAAAAAAAAUCUGAAUCUCAGAAGCCAGAACAGCAAGAGGGAUCGCUGCACAGCGAAAGCAGUGAUCCCUCUUCCUGUUCUGGCUUCUGGGAUAGCUGCGCAGCCGGCAUUUGCUCCAUAAGACGCACACACAUUUCCCCUUACUUUUUAGGAGGGAAAAAGUGAGUCUUAUAGAGAAAAAAAUACAGUAACUUAUUCUUGCAUGUUAGGAUUCUCCUGUCUAACUAAAUGCUUGUGACCUUGGGAAGCAUUUUCCCCUCACCUCUUUCAUUGUCUUAAUAUUGUAUUUUAAGUGAUCUCUGUCCCUCGGACUAAUGCCCAAACUGCGUUGCCAAGCCGCUGGGAUUCUCCAAUCCUGACAGCCAUGCUGCAAAUCUGUUACCUGCUGUUUCUGCAGAAUUCCGCAGCCAGAGAUGGCUCAACGGAGCCAAGAGCGCAGAUGUGUUUGAACUUUAAACAGUCUAGAUAUCAAUUGUUUUGAUCUAUAAGCCCCAGAAGGCCAACUCAAUCACAGAGGUAUCAGGUUAAGCUAAUUUACCAUUCAGAGCCGUCUUCCAGACAUGCCUAAGUUGCAAAACUGUAAGACGCUAGACGGAAGCAAGAAACGGGUAAUUGCUUCCAAACAGGGAGUGAAAUGGUGCAAUGCUCCACCUACCUCAGAAGGGGGAACCGCAGGUCCUGAGAGCAGAAUGUGGCCCUCCCUGCCUCUCUAUCUGGCCCCCAGAGUUUUCCCCAGGCUAGACAUUCCUCCCUGGCCCAAAGUGUUUUUCCUGGCUGGAAUGUGUCCUUGUAUAGGUGCAUGUGUGUAGACACUAGCCUACAGGACAAAGACAAAUCUACAUUCAUUGUUCCACCCACUUUUGCCUUUGGCACUGCCCACCACUGGCAUGCAGCCCCUGGAAGGUGCUCUAUGCUGCAACAUUGGUUUCUCUUUUAUUGCUCUUAAUAGGUAAUGUAACAGCCUGUGAAGUUACCCAACCCAAAUGCACAAUCAUGUACACAAUACACACAGCUCUUAAUGCCUUCCAAGUUCUCCACCAGAUGUUGCCUUCAAUCAGAAAGUGAGAGUCAGUUUCCAAUCUGCAUUUGCUACAAAAAUUGCCUCGAGGCUGCAAUCCUUUUGCAGUCACACUUCCUCCACAAGUAGAUGCAUGCGUGCUUUGUGUGCUUCUAGACCCCUGAGCAGAUUCGCAUUCCAACACACAUGCCAGCAGAUCCAGCUCUACAAGAAUAAUUUAGAGGUGAGAAACCACGAGAGGAAGGUGGGGGUGGGUUCCCUUCCUGCUAUACACUAUGCAUAUACUUGGACUAGCAAUCACUUGUUAUCGUGCAAUAGGGGAAAUGUUCCAUCAUGUGUAUUUUGUAAUUCCAUACUUCUUUUAUCUGCAAGCAGGCAAGUAAACUCAAAACAGACAUGACAAGGGAAAUCUAGGGUUUCAUCUCUCGGCUCCUAGACACUCACUUCAAAGCAGCCAUGGUGGGCUCCUUUCCUAAUCGGAGGAGUGCGUGGCGCUGUGCUCUAAACCACUGAGCCCCUUGGGCUUGCUGAUCAGAAGGUCAGUGGUUCAAAUCCCCGCGACGGAAUGAGCUCCCGUUGCUCUGUCCCAGCUCCUGCCAACCUAGCAGUUCGAAAGCACGCCAAAAAGUGUAAGUAGAUAAAUAGGUACCUCUGUGGCAGGAAGGUAAACAGCGUUUCCAUGCUCUCUGGUUUCCGUCACAGUGUUCCGUUGUGCCAGAAGCAUUUAGUCAUGCUGGCCACACAACCCAGAAAGCUGUCUGUGGUCAAACGCCGGCUCCCUCGGCCUGAAAGCGAGAUGAGCGCUGCAACCCCAUAGUCGCCUUUGACUGGACUUAACCGUCCAAGGGUCCUUUACCUUUACCUUUUGCUAGGGGAGAUGAAGUUUAAUUUUAGUGAGACAGUGUGGUAUAAUGCUUAAAGUGUUAGGUUCAAAUGCCCAGCCCUGCCAGGUGAGCCUGGGUCAGUUGUGGGAUGAACAAAUGACAAGCAAGAAGACACGCAAUCUGCAAACAAAUAAAGAUUAAUGUGGGGUGAUUUUUGCUCACUCCACACACAGAAAUCAGAACAGAUGACCAACAAAAACGAGAUUUAGCCUAACUUCCACGCAAGUCGUGUGCAAACAAAUCAGGAUGAAUGCUCAGUGAACAGGUCAUCUAGAGGUGCCCCAAUUCUCCAGGCAAGCUGAAAAUCUGUGCUCUAUAUGGGAGGGUUUCCAAGCUCUGUAAGAUGGCAGGCAAUUGCUCUGUAUUUUUAACCUCCUCCAGGGCCACUUGAAAAUGGGAUCUCUUCUUGUGGAGUGUAGCACAGCAGUCUGGGAGCAAAUGGUUGUAAAAAUUGUUUUAUGAUGUGGUUUCAGAUUGUUCUUUGCCACCAUGAGGAUCCCGAGGGGCUGAACAGCACAAUAUAGGUAAAGGUAAAGGGACCCCUGACCAUUAGGUCCAGUUGUGGCCGACUCUGGGGUUGCGGCACUCAUCUUGCUUUAUUGGCCGAGGGAGCCUGUGUACAGCUUCCGGGUCAUGUGGCCAGCAUGACUAAGCCGCUUCUGGCGAACCAGAGCAGCUCACGGAAAUGCCGUUUACCUUCCCGCCGGAGCGGUACCUAUUUAUCUACUUGCACUUUGACAUGCUUUCAAACUGCUAGCUUGGCAGGAACAGGGACCGAGCAACAGCAGCUCACCCCGUCACAGGGAUUCAAACCACCGGCCUUCUGAUCGGCAAGCCCUAGGCUCUGUGGUUUAACCCACAGUGCCACCUGCGUCCCGCCUGAACAGCACAAUACAAUAUUAUUAUUAUUAUUAUUAUUAUUAUUAUUAUUAGCAAAAUCAUUUAAAUAACAGACAUGGAGUCCAGAGCAAGCAAAUCUGGAAAGAAAACCCAGUGUAUAAUUUGAGAGCUUUUGCCUUCGUUACUUCAAGCUUUGUAUGCAUACAGCAGAAAGACAUUCAACUAAACAUACAAAGGGAAAACUCCCUCACAACUACAUAGUCAAUCAGAGCAAGCGCUAUGCCGGUAAACACCAAGGCACCCAGCCUGGUUUCUAAGCAACACCUCCUCCACCACACCCUAUUCAAAAUAGAAUUAAAACUUAAGUUACAAACUGAAUGAUCCCUGCUGUUGCACUUCCAACAUAUUUUAUGUAAACAAUCAAUAAAUGCAUACACUCCAAUGCACUCCCACAGGACAGCUCAGAUGUUAUCAGCUGUAUACCUUCCAGAACUGAGUGCUAUUGCUCAUGUGGUCGUCUUCUUCUUCUUUGGCGAUCACUCGUAGCCAGGUAAGAUUGUCUUCCAUGAACAUAAUCUUAACAGUGAGUCCGUUAUUGACUUUGGAGGCCAAUUCUGGAUCAGCACAUCCUUCCACAGUGGGGACAUUGGUUUCCGGGCAGGAGUUGAUCACGGUGUCGAUUUGCCAAGCAUGCCUUCCUCUUAGCACGUUUCUCCCUUGCGUUCUGAGUUUGAGUGUCUUCAAAGUCCAUGACACCUUUGGUAAAGGCUGUUCUCCAACUGGAGCGCUCGCAGGCCAGUGUUUCCCAGUUGUCGGUGUUUAUACUACAUUUUUAAAGAUUUGCCUUGAGACAGUCUUUAAACCUCUUUUGUUGACCACCAGCAUUGCGCUUUCCAUUUUUAAGUUUGGAAUAGAGAAGUUGCUUUGGAAGAUGAUCAGGCAACCGCACAACAUGACCAGUCCACUGGUGAUCUUUGCUUCAUCCAGUACACUGAUAUUAGUUCGCCUGCCUUCCCAAGUGAUGUGUAAGUUUUUUCGGAGACACCGUCAAUGGAAUCUUUUGAGAAGUUGGAGAUGGCGUUUGUAAGUGGUCCAUGUUUCACAAGCAUACAGUAAGGUUGGUAGUACAAUAGCUUUGUAAACAAGCAUUUUGGUUUCCCUGCGAAUGUCCCGGUCCUCAAACACUCUGCACUUCAAUCGGGAGAAAGCCGCACUCGUAGAGCUCAGGCAAUGCUGGAUUUCGGCAUCAAUGUUGACCCUUGUGGAAAGAUAACUGCCUAGGUAGGAGAAGUGAUCACUCAUGUGGUACCACCCAUGCAAAAUAGGGAAUUUGGGAAACCCCAAGGUUUUACAGACCCACAAAAAGUACCAAAAGGAAAAUAUCUCAAGGUAGAAUAAAACGAACCCAACGAGGACUGAGCAUGCUCAGGGACCAUAGAACGCUGACUGAUUAUUUUGUUUUGGAGGAGAGAGUAGGAGGAAGGAUGGAGUAGCCAGAGUCCUCAACAACAGCACACCAUACUGCAACAUUUUGUUGCAGCUCUGACUUAUACUGUCCUACAACAAUGCGGUUCUGCACCACUGCUCAGCACAGUCCUUAAUGGCUCCAUUAUGUGCCAUUCGUCAGCUCAGUGAUCGAGUGUGUCGCUGAUGUCUGGAACAGAGGUGCCACCAUCCCUAUUUAUUAACUCUGCUUCUGUUCUGGCUGAUUUAUCAAAACAGACUCGGUGGCCGAGGUCGUUAGGAGAUUAGCUUCUACAUUCCCCGAUAAGCACGGAGGAACAAACCAAAAAACCAAGCCUUCAUCCGCAUACCCCUGGGCAGCGCCUUUGUGAAGGAAUGCAGGGAACCAUCCAAUUUGACCUCAUUUCUCUUUCGCUUUUCUGAUAGGCAAGGGAGACCAACGCUGUGCAGUCCAAAGUAAAUCUAUUGCACAAGGCAGGACAUCUCUUCCCUCUAGUAGCGUGGAGGAAGCUACCAGUAAGGGUGAUAAGUCAUUUGGUUACCGCGAUCAUCAAUCAGGCACGAAGGCUCAGCCAUUCUGCAGUCUGAAUUCUUUAUCUAACGGAUUCGUCAUACCGGCCGACUGUAUUAAGCUACCCCGUCCUCAUUCCUAUUACUGGGCUCCAACCAAAAAUGAAUCAAUCUCACCCUAAUUGAUGACGUCAGCUUUGCAAACGGGACAGUUGGACUUGGGCCACCUUCAGACCCUCGUCAUUUUGUGGGCCGGGUUCAAGCCCACGUUGGAAAGGUAGGCUUGCACAAUUCAAGUGGGUUAGAGCACUCUGCCAUAACAAAUCCACCACUUCUUUUUUAAAGAAAAAAAACUCUGACUUUUUGCAAAUAGGGGAGAAAGGGGGGGGUGGACAUUGCAAAGCAUGGGAUGGUUAAUGGGAAGAUGCAUAACGAGUGUGCAACUAAAUCAGGAUGAAUGCUCAUCACCCUAGUAAACAAAUCUAGAGAAAUGUUCCAAGGGAGACUUUUGCAUAUUCUUCAACCACAGCACAGCAACACACACAGAUGCCCAGCAGGCAGCAGAGAUUAGUGGUUUGGGUGCACACUCUGCCAUAAGCCAGAGAGAAGAAUUUUGUGGCAGGAGCUGCCCUCUCCUCCUGUCCUGGACAAUGUCAGCUAUUCUCCUGGAUAUCUAAUCGUUUGUGUGUGUGUGUGUGUGUGUGUGUGUGUGUUUAUGUGGAAGAGCCUUUCAAGAAAGGGACUGCCCUUCAUCAAGGACGAGGCAGCCAGAACCACCACUGCAGUCAGCUGAAACUGCAAACUUGUGCUUAAGCUCACCUUCCCCUUCCUGUUCCUUGUAUACCUGAAGGAGCGUCUCCACCCCCAUCGUUCAGCCCGGACACUGAGGUCCAGCUCUGAGCACCUUCUGGCGGUUCCCUCCCUGCAAGAAGCGAAGUUACAAGGAACCAGGCAGAGGGCCUUCUCGGUAAUGGCACCCGUCCCAUGGAACGCCCUCCCAUCAGAUGUCAAAGAAAUAAACAACUUUUAGAAGACAUCCACAGCCAGCCCUGUUUAGGGAAGUUUUGAAUGUUUGAUGUUUUAUUGUGUUUAAAUAUUAUUUUGGGAGCUGCCCAGAGUAGCUGGGGAAACCCAACCAGAUGGGUGGGGUACAAAUAAUAAAUAAUAAUAGUUGUUGUUACUUUUGUAUUGUAUCUUUUUAAGAUUGCGAGUCUGAGGGCAGAGACCUACUCAAUACAGAUUUUUUUCUUGUUAGUUGCUCUGAGAACCAUUUUUUUUUCCCCUUAAAGGGCAACAUAUAAACAUCGCAAAUAUAUAAUAACAAAUCAGUGCAAAAAAAAAAAAAUGCAACAGGAUUUUGUGUGCUGAAUGUGCAACCUUGUAUAUAUAUAUACAGGUUAACAGAUGUGUGAGACACAAUCAUCUCUCUCUCUCCCUUGCUUGCUCACUCGCUUCUUUUUUUCUGCCUGGCUUAAAAUAUUCAGUUCCCAUCACACCUGGUGGUUUAUAUAUUCAAGAGUUGGAGCUCUGCUGAGCUGGCAAACCCAGUGGGAUUUCAGAGCAGAGAACAGGGAAGAAUGACCGGGAGGGGGAGGGGAUGAAACCCACAUGAAGGCCCCUCUUGCCUGUACUGUUGUGAACCCUUUCAGGGGUCAGCAAACUUUUUCAGCAGGGGGCCGGUCCACUGUCCCUCAGACCUUGUGGGGGGGGCAGACUAUACUGUAUUUGGGGGGGGGGAUGAACGAAUUCCUAUGCCCCACAAAUAACCCAGAGAUGCAUUUUAAAUAAAAGGACACAUUCUACUCAUGUAAGAACACGCUAAUUCCCGGACCGUCCGCGGGCCGCAUUUAGAAGGCGAUUGGGCCAGAUCCGGCCCCCGGGGCCUUAGUUUGCCUACCCAUGCCUUAACUCCUUUUGGAAGGGAAGCAAAUGUCUUUGCAUCCCACCUUUGCUUUCCUGACACACACACACACACACACACACACCGACUUAAAUUCCUUCAGGUGCAAUUUAAGAAAAGACAGGAGAGCGAAGAAGUUAUUUAGGCUGAACCAAUGGGUGAGAUCAAGAAACAAAUCAAUUCCAUCAUUAUACCAUCAUUAUAUAAUACCAGACAGAGGGAAAGAGAGACGAACUGCAGGAAAAUAAAAUAAAAACGUGCCACUCUAUUUGAAUAUUUCCAAUUCCGCCUGUCACCUUUAAUUCCUUAGUGUUGAUACCGGAGUUGGAAAAGUGGCAGAGAAAUAGUAAUAUCCUUACAUUACAUCUGUCAAGCACCAACGGGGGCGGGGAGCUGAGCUGAGCAGUGGGAAGUGGAAAUCCGCAUUCACCCCUUCUGUGUCUAGAUAUUCCCAGGCUGCAAAGCUUUCGGCAGGAAGGAAGUCUUCUCUCUGUUUUCUGCUUCGCACAUUUACCUCAAAGGGCUGUAAGGUCAGGGCUGUGGAGCACCUGCUUGGCAUGCAGAAGGAAGGCCCAAGGCUCAGUCCCCAGCAUCUCUGGGCUGGGAUUGACUCCUGCCGGAAAUCCCAAAGAGCUGCUGGCAGUCAGUGUAGACAAUUCUGAGACAGGGGGUGUUUUCAACUCUAUCUGGAAAGGCCAGGGAUUGGAGCUGAAACCUUCUGCAUGCAAAGCAGGUGUUCAAGCAAUGAAUGAUGGCCUUCCCUGGGUCUGAGAGGGUUGCUGUGGAAGAGCAAUGGUGAUGAUGAAGGUAAAGGGGGCAGAGCUUGACUCCUGGCAGCCCCUGUUCAAGACUCCUCCAGCAUCUCUCUCUCUCUCUCUUUCACACAUCACACAAUCUUCACAGAACUUUAGCUUAAUGGUUGCCAUCAAUUUGAGUUGAAUUAGUUUUAUAAUGAAAUGUUUUUAGAAUGUUGUACUAUUUUAUUGUUGUUAGCCACCCUGAGCCCGGCUUCGGCUGGGGAGGGCGGGAUAUAAAUAAAUUUUAUUAUUAUUAUUAUUAUUAUUAUUAUUAUUAUUAUUAUCAUUUUUAAUUUGUAUACCGUCUUUCUAUCUUACAGUACUCAAGGCAGUUUACAAGCUGAAGAAACAAAAAAUGUACAUCUUAUAACAAUCUAACGCAAUACAAAAAUGUAUACAUAACAAAAAUGUAAACAUAACUUUAAAAUAGGCAACCUACAUCAAAAAGUAGCAUUCAUUAGAAUAUUAUUGAAUAAUAACAUAUAAAAGUUAAACAGAAAUCCACUCAACAGUUACAAUAAAUAAUUUCUAAACUAUAAUCAAUAAAACAAUGGCAAGCCACCGUACACAAAAAAAUACAUUACAAAUUGAGAAGCAGAGACUAGAGGGUGGGGCAAGGCAGGUAGAAGGAGGCCUUGCCUGAUGGAGUCUCUCCCCUCCCACACACAAACAUAAGAGCCCUGGUGGAUCAGGCCAAAGGCCUGUAUAGUCCGGCAUCCUGUUCUCACAGUGGGCAACCAGAUGCCUGGCGAAACCAGAGCAGCGCACGGAAACGGUGUUUACCUUCCCGCCAGAGUGGCACCUAUUUAUCUACUUGCACUUUGACAUGCUUUCAAACUGCUAGGUUGGCAGGAGCAGGGACCGAGCAAUGGGAGCUCACCCCGUCGCGGGGAUUCGAACCGCCGACCUUCCGAUCGGCAAGCCCUAGGCUCUGUGGUUUACACCAUAGCUCCACCUGCAUCCAUAAAACAUCAGACAUUAACAGCUUCCCUAAACAGGGCUGCCUUCAGAUAUAUUCUAAAAGUCGUGUGGUUCUUUAUCUCCUUGACAUCUGAAGGGAGGGUGUUCUACAGGGAGGGCGCUACUACCGAGAAGGCCCUCUGUCUGGUUCCCUGUAACUUCACUUCUCACAGUGAGGGAACCACCAAAAGGCCCCCAGAGGUGGACCUCAGUUUCUGAGCUGAACAAUGAGGGUGGAGAGGCUCCUUCAGGUAUACUGGGCUGAGGCCAUUUAGGGCUUUAAAGGUCAGCACCAACGUGCUGAAUUGUACCACUCUGGCAAGACAGUGUGUGGACAGGUAGGGGCUCAUCCAGCGUACCAGAUGGAGCUGGUAGACACAGAACUGACCUGUAGAUGCAUUCUGCCCACCUGUGAUUUCCAACAGCUACUCAGGACAUACAGUGGUACCUCGGGUUACAUACGCUUCAGGUUACAGACUCCGCUAACCCAGAAAUAUUACCUCGGGUUAAGAACUUUGCUUCAGGAUGAGAACAGAAAUCGUGCUCCGGCGGCGCGGUGGCAGCAUGAGGCCCCAUUAGCUAAAGUGGUGCUUCAGCUUAAGAACAGUUUCAGGUUAGGUACAGACCUCCGGAACGAAUUAAGUUCUUAACCCGAGGUACCACAGUAUCUUCUGGCAAGACAGUGUGUGGACAGGUAGUGUGUGGAUAGGUGUGGUUCUUUAUUUCCUUGACAUCUGAAGGGAGGGUGUGUCACAGGGAGGGCGCCACUACCGAGAAGGCCCUCUGCCUGGUUCCCUGUAACUUCACUUCUCGCAGUGAGGGAACCACCAAAAGGCCCCCGGAGGAGGACCUCAGUUUCUGAGCUGAACAAUGAGGGUGGAGACGCUCCUUCAGGUAUACUGGGCUGAGGCUGUUUACGGCUUCAAAGGUCAGCACCAACAUGCUGAAUUGUACCACUCUGGCAAGACAGUGUGUGGACAGGUAGACAGAUGGAGCUGGUAGACACAGAAAUGACAUGUAGAUGUAUUCUGCCCACCUGUGAUUCCCAACAGCUACUCAGAACAUACUGCCUCUGACAGUGAAGGGAGAGCAUAGCCAUUGUGACUAUUAGCCACUGAGCAUUAUCCCACAUUAAUUCAUCUAAUUCUCUUUUAAAGCCAUGCAACCAGUGCCUAUCGCUACAUCUUGUGGGAGCAAAUGUCAUAGUUGUGCUGUGUGAAGAAUGCCUUCAUUUCGUCUGUCCUGAAUUGUCCAGCAUUCAGGUGGUUCCAGGUCCUUGCAUUAUGAGGAAGAAAAAUGUCUUCCUGUCCACUUUGCUAUCCCAAAUCACAGACACAACUGUACGAGUGUUGCCAAGAGACUUCUCUGUAUUGCUGCUGAAUAAAGAACAGCCAGGUAUUUGUGUGAAACAGCAGCAAAAGAAAUGAAGAUUCUCACUUUGACCCAAACACACCGCAGGCGUGUCCUGGUGCCUUUUGCGUUAAAUUUGCCUCCAGCACCUUUGCAAAAACAAAACAACCCCCUGCUAUCCAACCCUUCAUUAUUCACAACUAAAGACAUGCCCAGGUUAAAGGAAACAAUAUCUUUGUGGAAGAAAAAUAAGCCCACAGCUGCUCUAACUCCCUGCACUGUAUCUAUUUCUGGCAACCUAUUGAGUGCGGGAGAUUGCUUCCUCACAAGAGCGACACAGAAACACCGGGCUACAGCAAGAGUACCCUUCAUUCUCACCGUAAGCAAGCUGAUUACGAGGAAGGAGGACGUGUUUAGUUGGCAAGAAGGAACAUUUUGCCAGACGUCAGGUGGAACAGAGUUGGGAAAUGUAGGAAGCAAGGAAGGCACCUCACACCGGAACAGAAUAAUGGUCCAGCAGCAGCAAUAAUAAUAAUAAUAAUUAUUAUUAUUAUAUUAUUUUUAUUAUUAUUAUUAUUAUUAUUAUUAUUAUUAUUAUUUACUUAUACCCCGCCCAUCUGGCUGGGUUUCCCCAGCCACUCUGGGCGGCUUCCAACAGAAUAUUAAAAUACAAUACAGUGGUACCUCAGGUUAAGAACUUAAUUUGUUCUGGAGGUCCGUUCUUAACCUGAAACUGUUCUUAACCUGAGGUACCACUUUAGCUAAUGGGGCCUCCUGCUACCGCCGCGCCGCCGCCAUGUGAUUUCUGUUCUCAUCCUGAAGCAAAGUUCUUAACCCAAGGUACUAUUUCUGGGUUAGUGGAGUCUGUAACCUGAAGUGUCUGUAACCCGAGGUACCACUGUAGUCUAUUAAACAUUAAAAGCUUCCCUAAACAGGGCUGCUUUCAGAUGUAUUCUAAAAGUCUGGGAGUUGUUUUUCUCUUUGACAUCUGGUGGGAGGGCGUUCCACAGGGCGGGUGCCACUACUGGUUUCCUGUAACUUGGCUUCUCACAAUGAGGGAACCACCAGAAGGCCCUUGGAGGAGGACCUCAGUGUCUGGGCUGAGCGAUGGAGGUGGAGACGCUCCUUCAGUGUCUACUUGGAACAGGCAGCAACUCUCUGGGUUCUCAGGAGAGAAGGGCCUGAUCCACCACAUACUGCCUGAUCAUUUGAGUUUUCCUAGAGAUAUCAGGGAUUGAAACUGGAACACUGGAAGUCAGACCAUGAAGUCAUCUAACUCAAUGUUGUACACCACAGACCUUCAACUGGUGGGUCACAGCCUGGUCCAAGGUGGGUAGCAAAUAUGAGCACCAGCAACAUGCAAAGAACAUACCCGCCAACAUUUCUCCAAUGAGAACAGGGACGUCCUAUUUCAUAAUAAUAACAACCGCAAUUUUAUUAUGUAUACUCGGCCCACUCUGGGUGGCUUCCAUCAUAUAUAAAAACAUAGUAAAACAUGAAACUUUCAACAAGUUCCAUAUACAGAGCUGCCUUCAGGUGUCUUCUAAAGGCUGUACAGUUACUUAUCUCCUUGGCCCGGGGGGAGGGGGGUCACAUGACUCCAUACCAUCCAACAUUUCUCCAACAAAAAUAGGGACACCUUAUUUCUGGGAUCAAGUCAGAAAUCCAGGACUGCCCCUGGAAAAUGGGGACUCUUGGAGGGUCUGAAAGAAAAGGCUCCGCAAUUGUAUGUUUGGGUUAAAAAUGAGUCCUCGGCUUGAAAGAGCCAGUGUGGUGUAGUGGUUAAGAGCGGUAGACUCGUAAUCUGGUGAACUGGGUUCGAUUCCCCGCUCCUCCACAUGCAGCUGCUGGGUGACCUUGGGCUAGAAACACUUCUUUGAAGUCUCUCAGCCCCACUCACCUCACAGAGUGUUUGUUGUGGGGGAGGAAGAGAAAGGAGAAUGUUAGCUGCUUUGAGACUCCUUCAGGUAGUGAUAAAGCGGGAUAUCAAAUCCAAACUCAAACUCAUUGAAAAGGGUGAAGAUACACUGACAGUGGCUCCCCAGGAUUUCACAGAGAGCGCAAUCCCAGGCCUGCCUGAAGUUGCUUGCCAUUGAUCCUGAGACCUUCUGCAUGCAAGGCAGGUGAUCUCCCCCUCAGCUAAAUUCCUUCCCCAACAGAACUUUCUGCAUGAGCAAACCCUUAUCAUCACUUUUAAAGUGAUCCAUGCUCUUGCCCCACCUAUCCUUUGGUAACCAUAGUACCUUAAAGAUCACCUGAACCCUUAUAUCCCAACUCGAUCACUGAGAUCACCUGCAGGAGCAUUGCCCAGCACCCUCCAAAAUGGUGAAACCCAUUUGACAUCAACAGCCUCAUCCUGUCAAAUUCACUGUUUUCACCUUUAAAUGUCUGCUGAAAACUUUUCUAUGCCACCAAACUCAUGCAAGUAAUCAAGAAAAUGUAUUUCUGUGACAGUUUAUGAUCUUCAGUUUUCAUUAUUUUCACAUGGUUUUUCAUUGUAUACAAAUAUUGUUGUAAGCCACUUUAGUAUUUUUAUUAAUCACUUUGCUCGAACAAAAGGACUCAGAGACACUUACAAACGUAUGCUUGUUUACAGACUUUUAUCAAGGUAAUAUCAAUCUGACAUUUACUUGUUUUGAACGGAUGACUCAUCUCAUCCGAGUAUAUAGAGGCAUAUAAAUAUUUUAUAGAUAAAUAAAAUAAGCACCAAAAUAUCACACCUGCACCUUUGCAAGAUGAUUUGUGCUGCCAAAAGAGAUAUAUUUGGUGUUUUUUGGGGGGUGAGUCUGCCACUGACCCCCUAAGUUAGAGAAAAGGUGACAGGCUCAAUGGUGCUAUAUACUUGAAUAGGAGCAGAAGACGCACUCUAGCACUGAGCCACGAUCCCUUGUUCAACUCCAAUUAUUUCUGUUUCUGUCUCACUCUCACUCUUUUCACACAUCAUAUUUUUAUAAAUAAUAGCAUCUGUCAUCAACGCCGUCUAACACACUAACUCCCUUUCCUGCAUUGUUGCAAAAACUCAAUUCAAAGGGAGGGCUCUCCGUGGAAAGGAUGUGCAAUCUUGCUCGCACAAGGGAGACGGCAAGCACAACAGAAAAUGCACAGGAGAGAGGUGGCCAUAAAAUCAAAUCCAAAUGUGGCAAAUAAGGAGAUUCCACCAAGCUUUGUGGUCCAUUGGACUUAGAAUGUCGAAAGCUGGUGUGGUGUGGUGUGGUGCUUGGAAUAUUGGACUAGGACCUGGGAGAUCAGGAUACAAACCCCCACUCAGCCACGUAGCUCGCUGGGUGGCCUUGAGCCAGUUACUCACUCUCAGCCUAACCAACCUCACAGGGUUGGAGUGGGAAUAGUAUGGGGAACUAUGUGUACUACCUUGAGCUCCUUUGAGGCAUGCUGUUGUUUAGUUGUUUAGUCGUGUCCGACUCUUCGUGACCCCCUGGACCAGAGCACGCCAGGCACUCCUGUCUUCUACUGCCUCCCGCAGUUUGGUCAAACUCAUGCUGGUAGCUUCGAGAACACUGUCCAACCAUCUGGUCCUAUAUCGUCCCCUUCUCCUUGUGCCCUCCAUCUUUCCCAACAUCAGGGUCUUUUCCAGGGAGUCUUCUCUUCUCAUGAGGUGGCCAAAGUAUUGGAGCCUCAGCUUCAGGAUCUGUCCUUCCAGUGAGCACUCAGGGCUGAUCUCCUUCAGAAUGGAGAGGUUUGAUCUUCUUGCAGUCCAUGGGACUCUCAAGAGUCUCCUCCAGCACCAUAAUUCAAAAGCAUCCAUUCUUCGGCGAUCAGCCUUCUUUAUGGUCCAGCUCUCACUUCCAUACAUCACUACUGGGAAAACCAUAGCUUUAACUAUACGGACCUUGGUCGGCAAGGUGAUUUCUCUGCUUUUCAAGAUGCUGUCUAGGUUUGCCAUCGUCUUUCUCCCAAGGAGCAGGCGUCUUUUAAUUUCGUGGCUGCUGUCACCAUCUGCAGUGAUCAUGGAGCCAAAGAAAGUAAAAUCUCUCACUGCCUCCAUUUCUUCCCCUUCUAUUUGACAGGAGGUGAUGGGACUAUGCCCCUUGGAGGCAUAGUGAGAUAUAAAUGUAAAAACAAAAUAACUAACUAACUGUGAACUUCAGUGACUCAAAAUACACACCUCAAAUACAAUCAGAAUUAAGACCCACUCAUCAGCCCAUGUUCUUCUUUCCUUCAGAUGUUCAUCUAAGGCAGGAAAGAGCCUAACUCCUUAACACCCGCUUACCUAUAAUGAGGGCCGGCCCACCCAUGACACCAGGUGACUCCCUUAGGCGGCAGGAUCCCCAGGGGCAGCAGAAUCUGAUGGUUAAUAUUUCUCCCCCACUUGUCCCUUAUGUAGAUCUUCACUCACCCCUUCUCUCCUGGUGGGGAGGGAGGUGCCAUUUUGGAGUUUGCCUCAGGUGCCAAAAAGUCUUGGGCUGGUCCUGCCUAUAACCAGGGCUUUUAUUCAGGUGGGCACCAUUGCCAUUCUAAGAGAACAAGUGUCAGGGGCUGGACUGAGGAGGAAUGGUGGGGACCACCACCCUCCACUUCUCCUGAACCUUCCCAAGAAGAGGAGGCCAGUAUAGAUUUAGAACAGUGGUUUGCAGAAGGGCAUAGUUCAGAGGCUGCAGAGGGCAGAAGCUGGGAAAUAUUGGAAGAGGAACAGCAGGAAUAAGAAAAAGGAUGAGGGGAGAGACAGCUGACAGACUCAGUGACCUUGGAAAACAUUCCUGACCCGCCUCCCUCUCCCACGACCAGGCGGGCAUUGAAGGUAGUAGAACAUAGAGCUCAGAGGCAGAAAGCUUGUAUUAGUCGACGAAGGAGUGACGUAGAAUAGGGGAGACAAAAGGGGGUGGGACUUUACUUGGAGCAACACCAUUAUUAGGCAAGGCUGCAUUCCUUUGCCUGUGAAUUAUUGAAUAAAUUGCCUAAGAACGUUGAUUGUUUCUCUUAUUCUUGGCUGCCACAGUGGGAGGGAUCUACUGUAUUUUUCGCUCUAUAAGAUGCACCCGACCAUAAGAUGCACUUAGUUUUAGAGGAGGAGAACAAAAAAAAAAAUAUUCUCUCCCUCUUUGCUCAGCCCCUCUCCAUCAAAGCGGGAGGAGAAACGGAAGGGGGUCCGUUUCUCCUCCUGCUUCACUGAAGGGGUGCUGCACAGAGAGGGAAAGCUGCACAGCACCUCUCCAGCGAAGCAAAGCCAGGAGAGCAAGAGGGAUCGGUGUGCACCGACCCCUCUCGCUCUCCUGGCUUCAGAGAAAGCUGCGCAGCCUGCAUUUGCUCCAUAAGAUGCACACACAUUUCCCCUUACUUUUUAGGAGGGGGAAAGUGCGUCUUAUAGAGCGAAAAAUACGGUAAUUCCCCGAAGCCUGACAACAAGUUGAGUUCAUGGUGAGUCCCGGCACCUCUUUUUCUGGAAGCAAUGCCUGUAACCCUCUUCCUCCUCCAUCCAUCUCGCUGAUGCAGUUGUUCCAGCAGCACGGGGUCUCGCUAACUUCCUCCUCCCCUGCGUCUUCCUGACCUGGAGAUGCUGCAGAUUGAACCUGAAACCUUCUGCGUGCAGAGCAGAUGUUCUACCACUGAGCCACAGCCCUUCCCUAAAUCUGUAAUGCAGAGAGGUCAUCUUAAUCUCAAGAGCUUUUCUAAAAACAACAGCAGCAGCAAUCUAAUAUUGUUGCCUGUAAAACUUGAAAACAUGGCCUCUUGGGCAUUACGGUGCUAAAAAUCAUGAAAGUUCAGAGAUUUCUCUAGUGGGCUGCCAUCAGCCCUGAGAAGAUUCGAAAGAAGAAAAUAUAAUUUUGUCUUGCUAAAAGUGCUGCAUUUUUGUUUUUUUAAACUAAAAGGAAUACACUGGAAAGGAUUUCCUUUCCGAUUCCAGCAGGGCAAUAACAAUGCUUAGCAGGAUAGCCUUCUCUAAUCUGGUGCCCUCCAGAUGUUUAGGACUAUGAAACAAUAUUCUAAGCCACUUUAAAAGUGCCUUUCUGGGGGGGGGGAGCAACAAAUAAUACAUAAAAACUAGAAACCUUGGAUAUAUCUUAUCACCGAAACUGUAUUUUCAAAGGCAUCUUUAUUAAGGUUCUGCAAUUCUGAAUACAAUUAAGUAUAUUUUUAACAUUUACAUGCACACACACACACACACACACACACACACACACAAAAGUAGUUCAGAAGCAGAGAUGGGUAAGAUAACCUGUAAAUCUACUCCAGCAAUAAUGUGAAGGAAAUGGUCCAGUUCUCUAAAUGUCUUCUGAACAUCUAAAAAGCUGAUUCACAACCCAUAUUUCAUAUCUGGGCAGUGCCAAUUUCAGUGAGUGGGGCCUGCUGAGGAUUUCACUUUGGCCACCUCAUGAGAAGAGAAGACUCCCUGGAAAAGACCCUGAUGUUGGGAAAGAUGGAGGGCACAAGGAGAAGGGGACGACAGAGGACGAGAUGGUUGGACAGUGUUCUCGAAGCUACCAGCAUGAGUUUGACCAAACUGCGGGAGGCAGUGGAAAACAGGAGUGCCUGGCGUGCUCUGGUCCAGGGGGUCACGAAGAGUCAGAUACGACUAAAUGACUAAACAACAACAUUCCCACAAUCUCAUCUCUUCUAUCCCCCUGCAUUUUUUUUCUGGGGGCAAGAGAAACAGUUUAACCUAGGACCAAAGGGAACUCCCUGUUCCUGACUGAGUUCCAGCCUGUGGUUGGAGUUCCUUAGCAGCCACUCAUCACGUGUAUCUCAUUUCUCUUUUUACACCACUUCUGACACCACUGUUCCGUGCACCCUCUGGCUGACACCCUGCGCUCCCAAGAGAUGCAACAAGAACAGGUCUCACAUUACUUUAGUUCAUUAGACAGUAAGCAGCACAACACAGUAUUAAAUUUGCAUGCCACCCUUCAUCCAAAGAUCACCAGGUGGUUCACAACAUAAAAAUACAAAAUGAAAAUGCAGAAUACAUAAUAAAACAAAAGCAAAAGGAACCAAUAACGCCCCUCUCACAGAUACAUUUGAAAGGCCAUAAAAUGUUAAAACAGCUUAUCUAUAUUCUGCUCUAGGAGGCUUAACUUGGUCAGAAUUGAGCAUACACUUCCAGACUGAACACUAAAUACAUGACUUCUGGUAACUGAGCCGCCAUAGCUGCUAGAGGGUUGUGAAAAUUUGUGUCCCAGCCUUUCUAGACUCAUCUACCCAUGUACUAUCCGAAACAAAAGGGAUGCUUUGGUUGCCAGAUGUGAAAUAUAUUGGCAUUUUCAGAGUGGGUGGCACUGUGGGUUAAACCACAGAGCCUAGGGCUUGCUGAUCAGAAGGUCGGCAGUUCGAAUCCCCGCGACGGGGUGAGCUCCCAUUGUAUGGUCCCAGCUCCUGCCAACCUAGCUGUUCAAAAGCAUGACGUGCAAGUAGAUAAAUAGGUACCACUCCGGCGGGAAGGUAAACGCUGUUUCCCUCAGCCAGUGUGCUGGUCCCGGGGGGAGGUUACCGUGAGGCGUGGUCAGAGUCCGGUCCUGGGUCCUAGGUCUAGAAACAGUCCACACAGGGCGAAGCGGGAUCCGAAGUAAGAAGCUGGGCGUGGUCGGGAACUCUGGAAGAACAGGACUGGGUGCUGGCCGAAACAGCGCUUCAACGACGUUGCUCCCGCAACCUGGGACCAGGCUGACUGGCCUUUAUCUUCUUUGAGGCCAGGGGUGGUCCUGGCCCCCAGGUGACCCGCCUGUUCUGGCCUUAAGGCGAGCACUCCUCCUGGGAGAAACCAGUUCCCUCCGCCUCUCUGCCCUGCGUCUCUGCAGCUCAGGAGAGGUUGGAGGGUUACUGGACCCAGGGGGAGACUCACCUUCCCCUGACAAGGCUGGAAGAGACGCACCUGUAGGCAAUGUGUCCUCAAUCACCUCCGGAGCCAGAGUGGAUUCACCUGGUGCCUGCUCCUGAGGAUCCGGCACAGGUGCAGGCGCUUCAGAAGCAAGGCCGUGCCCCAGCUCAGCCGGCCCUGGAGGCGGGGACUCCUGUGCAGGCUGGGAUUCCUCUGGUUCAGCCUCUGAAUCGGAUUCCCAGGCCAUCACAGCCAGUAAAGUGAGAUGAGUGCCGCAACUGCAGAGUCGUCUGCGACUGGACCUGACGGUCAGGGGUCCCUUUACCUUUACCUUUACCUCACUAUACAUGCUUUCCAAGGCUCAGAUUAAUUCUACUGGCUCACGUUUUUAUCUAGAUCCCUUGUGAAAGCAAGGAGGGAGCACAAAUUUUAUUUCUUUAUUAACUACUGCUGUUAGUUGUACAAUUGCAUGUUAUUUUUCUUUCUUUCUAGCUGCUGUUUCCAUGGUGUUUUAUUGUUAUGCUGUUAACAGCCUUGGAUUUCUGCUCUGUGGGCGAAAGACAGUAUGCAACUAUUUGAUAAACAAGCAAAAUAAUAAAUAUACACAGGCUGACAACCGAACUCUUUAUGCAGAAAAAAGGGACAAGGCAAAUGUGACCUACACCCAGAUUUGUACAGAAAAUUGGACAAUGCAAUAUGCUCGGGCUUGUGCAUGGGAAAUAUGCCUUAGCAACGUUGACCUAAUUUCCAAAGUAAAAUGUGUGUGUGUGUAUAUGUGUGUGUGUGUGUGUGUGUGUGGCUCAAUACGAAACAAUAUGCAAUGAAGGGAAACGUGAAGCAAAACUAGCUCAAGGUAAAUACUCUAUUACUGCUUUUGUGUGUGUUUAUGAAAAGGGAUCUAUAAAUCAAAGUCGAAUGUUACAUGAGCAAGUGCAAGCCUGGGCAGUGUGUAUGGAGGUCCUGGGCUGCCGAGAUGACAAGAUACACACACACACACACACACACACACACACACACAGCCUUGCUGAUGUGGACCAAAGGAAAUCAGAGCAAUACGUUUGGUACGACCUUGGAUUCAGGAGUUGCCGGAAGGAGGCGUACAAGGCACCAUCCAGCCACCUUAGGGACGUCUCUCUGGAUUUGUGUAGGGUGCUCCAAUUUGAAAGAGAAUUUCAUGAAAAUGCUCUGCAGAUGGUACUUAACACCUGUAAAACUGGCCAAAAUGUACAAAUCUAGAUCAAAUAUCUGUUGGAGAUGCAGGGAGGCGGAAGGCACCAUGAUCCACACGUGGUGGAAUUGCAACAAAAUCAGGGAAUUUUGGGAAACAAUAUAUAACGCAGGGCCGUCUUACCCAUAGGUGCUAGGAGUGCAGGGCACCCGGGCGCCAGGCUCUCAGGGGCACCAGGCCGAGAGUCCGGGGCCCGAGAGUUGAGUCCGGGGAAGAGCCUGCCCGUCGCUGCGGGCAGCUCUGUGCCGCGAGUUCGGGGGCAAGAGAGCCAGCGAGACGCUGAGGCGGCCGGGCAGCUCUGCCCUCUUGCGCACCUGGGACGGGGCAACCUGGGGGGAGGGCGCCGGGCAGAUCUUUGCACCCCAGCACAACAUAUGCUUAAGACAGCCUUGAUAUAACGAAGUAGUCACAGCGGCUCUUAUGACCCUCAAAUGUUGGAGGCAGUAUUCUGGGAUACUGAAUUGCUGAGAUUUACAAAUGUGGAGAGAUGCUGCUGCACUCAGGCUUUCAUGAAAGCAGGAUGUUGGGCUAGUUCGGCCACUGGCCUUGCCCAGCAGAUUCUUCUUAUACUCUUAAAUGGAAAAUCGGGGAAGGUGAAUGGACUGGAGUAAAAUGAAAGAGGUUAUGACUGGCUGGCUGGUCAGCAGACACUGCAAAUUCUCAUGGUUCUAUGUUUCGCUUCAAAUUAAAAGUGCUUUUAUAUGGACCGCAAGCCACCCUGUUAACUUUUUAUUAUGGGGUGACUUACAGAUGCCAUGAAUAAAUAAACAAAUUCUGUUGCCGGUCUCACUUACAUGUCUUAUUGCUAUCCGCGUUCCCACAGAGGCUGGUGUCGCAAGCCUUUUAAAGCCAUCUGAUAUAGCAGCAGUUUGCCUAUAUCUGGCGAGAAUUCUUUUUCUUUUUCUUUUUGCUGCCAGAAAAUGAGUAAUAAAAGUAUUUAUGUUUCUAUAUGGCUGCUUCUUUCAGGGAGCCAAGAAGAAUUACAUCAGGAUCAAUAACCUAUGUUUUCAGUAGCACCUCACACUAUUUACCAGUAAUUCCCAACUGCAGGGCAAGAGUGGGGAGGGAUGUUUUUGCCAUGUCCUAAGUUGGGCAAAUAGGGAAGGGGAUAUCCUGACCUUCAUUUCCCCAGAGAGCCAGGCUCAGCGCCGUCCUUCACAACACAGAAAUGAAAUCUCUGAAAAUAACCUUUGGGUCAGAGGUUUCCAAACUGUGGUCCACAAGCACCAGGGGACAUUCAGGUGGUCUGUGGCAGGUCAGCAGGUUUGUAGUUGAAGGCGGGAGACUAUGCAUCCAUCAUCUUAUACAUUUAUGCUGGUUUUAAAUUGUUCUUAUUUCUCACGUCGCAAUGCAGUACAGUUGGAACUGAAUGGGUUGCAAAUUCCAAUACACAGAAUGGAUGCAAAAACUUAUGGAAUAUGCAGAAAUGGCCAAACUUACCGGGGAAAUAAGAAAUCAAGGUAACAAAUAAAAGAACGGAAAUGGUUUGUUGGUUUUUUUUAUAAAUGCUUUAUUGGUUUACAAACUAAAUAACAUAAGUAGUCAUUGUAUCUGUUUACAAAUAAAUUGUAUCUGUUUACAAAUUAAUUGUAAACAGAUCACAACAUUGGCAGGAUUAUUGUAAUAACCUGCAGUUUUAUAAGAGUUUUAUAUAUUUAAAGUAGAUGAGUAAGUGAAGUUAAUUUGGAAUAUGCAGAAAAUAUAUAUUAAAAAAAAAUAUUUAAGGAUCCGCAGAAAGAAGGGGAAGGAAGUCGAGUUUCGAAAUGUUAAAAUGAUUGUAAAAUACUGAAAUGUAUUAAACUGAAGAUUGACAAUAAAUAGUAGUAAUAAUAAUAAUAAUAAUAAUAAUAAUAAUAAUAACAACAACAACAACAACAUACACAGAAUUAUAGGGAAGUUUUAAUAUUUGAUAUUUUUACACGUGUUGGAAGCUGCCCAGAGUAGCUGGGGAAACCCAGCUAGAUGGGUGGGUAAAAUAAUAAAAUUGUUGCUGCUGCUGCUGCUGUUGUUAUUAUAAUACAAUAAAUCUCAAUAUAUGAGGGGGGAAUAAAUGGAAAUGCAAUUUUAAAAAAUUAAACAGCAUCCAGUACAGCACAUUGCAAUUACUACGAAAGGCUGGGGGAAAUAUUAAGUGGUCUGCCAAGAAGCUCAGCAAUUUUCAAGUGGUCCGUGGGGGUAGGAGUGGGAGUUUGGGAACCACUGAUCCAGCGAGUGCGUGCAUACGGUUGGGAAGGAAACCUGCGAAUGCCAGAAGCUUUAAGAGGGGGAAAUGUCCUUGUUCCCUAGUUUCUGGUUCCCGCUGACUUGAACUCUUCAUGCAGACUUCCAAGGAAAGCAGCUUUUCUUAGCCAGUGGUGCCCCAAACUUUGAGGCUCCUGAAAACAGAUCUGAGGCCCAUAAGCUCAAGAAAGCCUAGGCUUGGUUGAAGAGACUCGUCCCAUCCCGUAUUUAAGGUAAAGGGUAAAGCGACCCCUGACCAUUAGGUCCAGUGGUGACCGACUCUGGGGUUGCGGCGCUCAUCUCACUUUAUUGGCCAAGGGAGCCGGCGUACAGCUUCCGGGUCAUGUGGCCAGCAUGACUAAGCCGCUUCUGGUGAACCAGAGCAGCUCACGGAAACGCCGUUUACCUUCCUGCUGGAGCAGUACCUAUUUAUCUACUUGCACUUUGAGGUGCUUUCGAACUGCUAGGUUGGCAGGAGCAGGGACCGAGCAACGGGACAUCACCCCAUUGCGGGGAUUCGAACCGCUGACCUUCUGAUCGGCAAGUCCUAGGCUCUGUGUUUUAACCCACAGCGCCACCCGCGUCCUGUCUUUGUAUAUAGACUGUAAAUAAAGUAGUUUUAGAGCUACUUUAGUCCUAGGCUCUGUGGUUUAACCCACAGCGCCACCCGUGUCCUCCCAGAUCUGAGGCCCAUAAGCUCAAGGAAGCCUAGGCUUGGUUGAAGAGACUCGUCCCAUCUCGUAUUAGGGGCACGUUAUUCCACCAGAGCCAGCUAAGGGUUCUCUUUAGCAAAUCGGAAAAUUGUUUCAGGGACAAACAAUGUCAUGGGCCUCAUGCUGUUCUGUCUCUCUUUCAGCUCCUGGAUACCUGGAGCGCCAGAAUUGAAUCCGAGAUGGAGAAGUUCAAAACAAUGUGCGAGAGCAUUACGCUUGCAUGAGCAUGCCUGGAUGCAAUCCCCGGCAUUUUCGCCUACCCACGGCCAACUUUUCCUUUUUCUCACAUCCCGCAUGAUCACAGUGGCAAUUGCUGGCCGCCUAGCAGUGUUCAGCUAGUCCCCAAAUGUGGUAACAUUUUAGAGGCCAAUUAUCCACUCCAAAGCUCUUUGUUACAAAAUAAAUACAAAUAAUGAAUCCUCAUAAGAGGUAGCAAUGGCAUAAAGCCCCCAUGAGCCCUAAUUUGCACCUCUUCUUUCUGAAAAAGCUUAUCUCUUUAAAGCACUAAUUUCACAUGCUUAAAUCAAGAUUGGCUUAGGAAACUUAUCUAAAAGAGUUGGGAGCUGUUAUUUUUCUACAGAUAGAUAAUAGGGUUGUGCUUGUAUGUGCAUGGAUUUCUGCUUGCACAGCUGAAAUUUCCCUCCCUCUCCUCUUGUGCCUCUGUAUGUUCCUGGGGUGGGGGUCCCUAUCAACUGGGAUUCCCUCCACUUGCAUUUGAUCCACCUCCCAGCUUUCUUUCACAAUUAAUUGUCAAAUAAUUAAUUGGCAAUUAAUGGUGCUGGUGAUAUAAGCACGAUUGCUGCAUAAAACGCUGGAGGAAGGGAAGUGACAUUUGUAAGAGGGCACAGAAUGCCAACCGAUAGCAGGUACAACAAAUUGUCCUUCUAGCCCAGUGGUUCUCAACCUGUGGGUCCCCAGAUGUUGUUGGACUACAACUCCCAUCAUCCCUGAGCUCUGGCCUUGCUAGCUAGGGGAUGAUGGGACUUGUAGUUCAACAACAUCUGGGGACCCACAGGUUGAGAAAGACUGUUCUAGCCCAAUGCUAUCUAUGUAGAACAGGGAUCAGCAAACUUUUUCAACCAUGGGCUGGUCCACCGUCCCUCAGACCAUGUGGGGGGCCAGACUAUAUUUAUUGGGGGGGGUGAUGAACGAAUUCCUAUAACCCACAAAUAACCCAGAGAUGCAUUUCAAAUAAAAGCACACAUUCUACUCAUGUAAAAACACCAGGCAGGCCCCACAAAUAACCCAGAGAUGCAUUAAGGACACAUUCUACUCAUGUAAAAACACGCUGAUUCCCGGACCGUCCAUGGGCCGCAUUUAGAAGGUGAUUGGGCCACAUCUGGCCCCCGGGCCUUAGGUUGCCUACCCCUGAUAUAGAGGGAAAUUUCCAGGUUCCUAGAGCAUGUUCCAUCCAACUCUUUUAAUUGGAGGGGAAGAGGCGAACUUCAGGCAAUCAGUGCUCAACACUGGAGAGUCCACCCAGGGGUGGAGGAAGGGGCUGCGGUGGGGGCGGGCCGCCCCGGGUGUCACCACUGAGGGGGGUGACAAAAUGGUGGGUGGCACUCACCACGGGGCCUGCAGCGCGCCCGAGCCACACAUCUCUCCUGGGAGUGACACGGUGCCUUGGGUGCCCACCGGCUCCGCGCUGCCCCAAACGGUCCACCCACCACUUACCCCUCAGCUGUAGGGCAGCUGAGGGGGAGGAGGUAGGCAGACUCCUCUGGGCCCCGUGGAACAUCCUGCUCCGGCUCGCCCCCACUGGCAGCUGGCCCCGCCCCUGGGUGCAGGGCAAGCUCAACGCACCAGGCGCCCGAUCGGCUUGCUCCGCCGCUGAGUCCACCACUCUACCACUGAGCUACAGCCCUUCCCCGAUGUUGUUGCCUCUGACCACACUGGGCAUUGACACUCAUCCCCUGCCCUCUCCAAAAGCAUAUAAAGCAAAUAUACUUCGCUCCUGCCUACAUGAUAACACCAGAAAUACACUCUCUCUACUUUUUACUUGGUGGAGAAGGAGGCACAGGAGAGAGGAGCACAGAAUGACAGCUAGAAAGUUUGUUUCAUGAAGAGGUCUCACGUCCGCCUGGGUAGCUCAGUUGGUUAGAACUGUUGGAAAAAGGCCCGGGAAGGCCACCACCUUCCCAAGACACCAGGGCGUCUCUCCAGUGGUCACUCUCUGGCUGUAUAUCUUCCUCAGUCCAGAGAGACCGGUGAUAAGCGACCCCUCCCUCCUGAGAGGAGCACACUUAUCUUCUGGCAUCUCAUAGCAGAAGAAAAAGUCAGUAGCUCUAAAACUACUUUAUUUACAGUCUAUAUACAAAGACAGGACGCGGGUGGUGCUGUGGGUUAAACCACAGAGCCUAGGACUUGCCGAUCAGAAGGUCAGCGGUUCGAAUCCCCGCGACGGGGUGAGCUCCCGUUGCUCGGUCCCUGCUCCUGCCAACCUAGCAGUUCAAAAGCACAUCAAAGUGCAAGUAGAUAAAUAGGUACCACUCUGGCGGGAAGGUAAACGGCGUUUCCGUGCAUUGCUCUGGUUCGCCAGAAGCGGCUUAGUCAUGCUGGCCACAUGACCCGGAAGCUGUAUGCCGGCUCCCUCGGCCAGUAAAGCGAGAUGAGCGCCGCAACCCCAGAGUCGGCCACGACUGGACCUAAUGGUCAGGGGUCCCUUUACCUUUUUAUAUACAAAGAAUCCAUCAGCAUGUCUGUGCUCUCUCAGCAUUAGAACAGAACAGCAUAACACACAGAAGUGAAACUAACUUGCAACAGUGCUAAGACUUCCUGUCUCACGCUCUCCCAGACACUCACAUGAUAUAAACAAUGUAGUGCUACUUGCUGAGCAGCACAGGUGAAUAAAAAUCCUAACAUCACUCCCCCAUUUUUAGGUAACCCUAGCUGCGAAAACUAGUGCAGAAUCAAGAGACAUAAACAAACAGUUGUCAUACACAUAGUAUACCCCUGCUGUACCAGUUCCACUUUUGGAACUACCUGCAGCUGGAUUGACCAGUUCAAACCUCUGGUUAGCUGUCUUCCAUGGGACUAGAGCUUUUGAUCUAUCUUGGUCUGAGGAAACAGUGCUGACUCUUGCAACCUUCAGAUGUGGCUUUGUCCCUCCUGUGGACCAACCUUGUGCCCCACUCAAGACCUUAGUGUCUGAAACCUGGUUUGAGCCACUAGCCACAGCUAUACAUGCAACAGCUGUGUUAGCAAACUGCUGAGAGAGCCUCUGGAGUGGCAGUCCCUUUGCGACUCUCUCAGAUCUACAUAUCAGGUUCAGAUCCUCCUUGCUGGCUGGUACUUCCUUGGGACUUUUGGGAGAACCACGACCAACAGUGGCUCUGGCAAUUCCAGUUCAGCCUCAGAUGAUGGCCUGGACAUUGCUUGUGUACUUCUCUCAAUGACUGUGUCAUCUGUACUAGAACUCUCAGUGGUGCUUUCAGUGUUACUCUCAAUGUCAGAAUCUACAUCUGUGUUGGCAUUGAUGGGGAAACUGUGGAGAACCUCUCUCCACAGUUAGAGCCAGUGUGGUGUAGUGGUUAAGAGCGGUAGUCUCGUAAUCUGGGGAACCGGGUUCGCGUCUCCGCUCCUCCACAUGCAGCUGCUGGGUGACCUUGGGCCAGUCACACUUCUCUGAAGUCUCUCAGCCCCACUCACCUCACAGAGUGUUUGUUGUGGGGGAGGAAGGGAAAGGAG
Molecule: long non-coding RNA, 67826 nt
Filed under: Podarcis lilfordi (Lilford's wall lizard)
Lineage: Eukaryota; Metazoa; Chordata; Lepidosauria; Squamata; Lacertidae
Source: RNAcentral